AAGACUUCACUUUCAGAAUUUCAGAUAUUAAAUAAUAUACAUUCGUUUUUGUUCGCAGGAUUCUCUAGUUGAGACUGCAAAAGAGGAAUCCAAUUCAUUAAGCAGUAUCAUUGCACAAGUCACCAAGUAGAAUGAAUAAGGUAAGUUUCUUUGGUUUUAGUAGUGAAUCUCCAUGAUCACCAUCAAUCUUCAGAGGGCUCAAAACCCUAUUAACAUUUAACACAAAGGUUCACUAUAUUUUUAAAACAGAAAUUGUAAAUUUCUAUUGAUUUGCAAUUUCCUCCUAUCAGUGGAAACCCUAUUUCCCGAGCAGGUCAUCGACCCAUACCUCCAAUUAUCGUUGUUUUCUCUUUCAAUUACUGCCAUCUCUAUUACCAUAAUUGUCACCCACAACCUUUGCCAAUUAAAGGGACGCCAAAAUAAAUAAAAAUAUAUAACCAACAGUAAAGAAGAGUACAUAUUUGAUGAAGGAAACUUUUCGUUAAUCCCCAUUCUAAUACCAUCAAUAAACAAACAUUGGCAUACUGCAACUAUUGUCCGGAGGGUACCUUUCUACAAGUAGAAAGACUUACCUCCGAGUGAUAUACCAGACACAUAUAAUAUAUCACCCGUGGUGCAAAUUAAAUGAAAAUUAUGUACACAACGAGACUAAAACCUUUGACCCCUCGACAAACUUAAUAGUUACUGUGACCAGUUGAGCUAAUCUCUGUGUGUUUGUUAGGAGUUAUUAUUUCACUAUUUCAGCAAGAAAUCUUUCUAUAUAUGUUUUGGUGUUGAUUGUGUGUUGAUUAUAUUUUCAGGUGUAAAAUGGAGAUGACAGAUUAUUACACACACACAGUAAAAUUCUAAUGCAAUUUGCAAUUCAACUAUGUAUCUCAGUUAUGUUGGAACUUUGUAUAACAGUUCAUGUUGUAAUUAUAUAUCCCAAUUUCCAAUUGGGUCAGAACUAUGUAUUUUAGUUAUAUGUUAAAGUCCAAAUCAGUCCAUUAACUAAACAUUCAAUGGACUGGAGUUAGUUAUGCUUAUCUUGAUUCUUGGGAGUCCAACAAAAUAAUUAAUAACUAGCAAUAUACAUAUUCUCAAGAUUUUUAUUUAUUGAAGGUCAUUUUGAUUAUCAUACAAAGAGAAAAUAAUUAAAAAUUUAGACUAGGGUUUGCCUUGGGUAUGGACAUAUGGUAUGGAUCGAGUACGGACUUACCCAUAAUCACCAGGGGUAUGGUGGAGGCAAACCACACCUUCAUUACAUUAAUUCCAAAGAUAGUCGCCGGGGCGGAAGAGAUUGAACACUUUUGUAAAAUUAUAAGAUAUAUGAAGAAUUUUGCAAAUAGAUUGGAGAAGGUGGCUCCUUACUUAAACGGGCAAAGGAAAUGUUGAAUGGUACUCAAUAGAAUGGUCAUUCCAAGAAGAUUGUUUGUUGAUAUAAGGAAGGCCUUCGAUGCGAUCUCAUGGAGAGGCAGAGAGCUAUUGACGAAACACUGAAAGGAAUAGGGUUUAAAGAAGAAUUUAGAAGAAUAUUGGAUCAAUAUAUACUACAAAACUCCCUCUUUUUUAGUUUUAGUUGAGGGUGAGCUCACGACCAAAUUCAAAAACCUGAUCUCUCUAAUUCUCCUCAACUUAGCUAUGGAAACCCAUUCCCAAAUUAGGUUUAAAAAAUUUAUGUAGUUUAAGCUAGAUAGAAAGAGUGGAGUCAAUUUCUCACUUAUUAUUUGCGGAUGACAUGCAUUUUGAUUUUUGGUGAGGCAAGUCGGGCCUCAUUGAUUUCGAUGAAAGAAACCCUUGACACUUACUCAAAUUUAACAGGAUCACACUCCAACCAUUCGAAAAGUGUAGUUGUCUACUCAAAAUUUUGCAAACAAAUUCCAGCACUUGAAGCGAUAAUUCAGAUUCCAACAAAGUCAUUUCCAAUCAAAUCUAGGGUAGAGUCCAACUAUUGGCAGCCGGGAAGCUCAAGCAUAAGGAUUGUGGAGCGUAUCAUCACUGGAGAAAGCGUUGGGCAGGUGAAGAGGGAGGAAGCUUUCUUAUAGUGGUAAGAGUCCAAUUGCUAACUAUUGGGUUCAAGCCACUAGACUAUCGAAGAAGAUAUUUGUUGGUACCAUGGACCGAACCAGCUGCUUUCGGGCCCAACCGCACGAAUGAGCCGGACCGAAGAAGGCCCACGAAGCCUGCGAAUUUUUGGGGCAAACACUAUAAAUACCUCUCCUGAUUUAACAGGGGAAGGGGUUGACAAUCAGAAGAGUAGAUACUUGAGAGAGUUAUGUGUGUGAGCAUUCGCCUACGAGCCCACACACCAUCAACAUUGAAGAAGGUGCGGUCGAUAGGCUACAACUUCUUACAGGGUGGAUGAAAAGGGACGGAUUGGGAUACAGUUACUUUAACAAGAGAAGAAGGAGGUUUGGGGAUUAAUUAAGGACUUCAUAACUCUUGAUGAAGCUACUACAAUCAAGUAAGCGAUGGAGUUAUGGGAUGAGAGGGAUUCGACAUGUAGGAGUUGGAUGAAAGGGAGGGUGAUCGACGAUCUAUAUCCGAGGAACACAAAUUCGAAGAGUCGAAGGCACUAUCAUUAUAAAAAAAAAUGGCUUAUAAAUGAUGGAUAAUAUUGGAGUUAUAAACGGCAAAAUUUCUGUCAUUUUUUUCACAUUUCCAUUUGAGGAUCUUAAUUUGACUAUAUUGGCGGAUUUUUCGCCAAUUUAGGAUUUUCCCGGGAAGCAUACACAAAUGACGAAUAUUUCGCCAUAUAAUACUUAUAAAUUACGAAGGAGUUUGGGCGCGAAAUUUUUUCCCGGCAAAAAAAAAAAUAUUUUGACGGAAAUUCAUCACAAUAUUCAUUUAGAUUCAUUACAUGAAUUUAAAAUCCACUAAUAUUAGAGUUAACGUAUUCUAAAUCAUUCAAAAUAUUAAACUAUCAAUGUAAUUAUGGAAUAAGAGGAAGAUUAGAUGUUCGAAUUAUCAAUCUUCUUCUUUUGAUAAAUGAUUUGAAGUGCUGAUUGGCGGAAUUUGAUCUUGGUCGAGGAAAAUCCAAAUCCGUCAAUUAUAAGGUCUUUUUUUUCCCGCAGUGUAUUAAAAUCUAAAGAGAAAAUCAACAAGUUUGCGACUUUGAAAACUAGUCUGGUCAUGCUUAGUUAUACUACAGUUUGGCAUUUAUGGAAGGAAGAUAACAGUAGAUAGCACAACAACGUCGACAUUUUAAAAGAUAUACAGAGUACUAAUUCCGAGAGGAGAAAUUCGAGGCAUCUUACGUCAGAGGUGGUAGAAAGCGAUUUGCUUGCUUGACAACUUGGAGGUUGCAUUGCGUACAAGACUACCCAGAAUGAUCCAAUAGUGUUAACAACCAUGAUUGAGGGAACUCUCAUAGAUAAUGAGAAUAACUUCCAUGCUUCAAUUUCCCUAAACGUUUUUCAUUAAUAUCAUUUACCUUCUUCAUCAAAAAGAAAUCAAAGUCAAAUAAAAAUAAAAUGUUUAAAAGUUGAAUAGUAAUUUUCCUUGACUUUCAAUCAGCAUAAGAGUGAGUCUUAGAGGGGGGAGGAGGCCGGAGGGGAGUGUGUUUUAACUUUUAAUUUAGGUUCGUACGGCUUUCGUUCUCAGAAAGUCCUAAAUCUCACACCAACCCAAAAUCUAUCCAGAAACACAACACAGGUGGUGAAACAACCGGAAGGAAAGAAAGAAAAAUACGUCUUUUGGGUUUUGGUUUCCUUUUUGUUCCACACUUCAAAAUUUGGGUUUUUCUUUGUCGGAGGGUUUUUGAUGCUUCGAUUGGUGUUAAUGUAGUGUGACGUUCCCUUACUUUUCUUUACAACCAGGUGAAAGCUUUACUACUGUUUUAGGAUCAGCAUGGCUCAGAGCAGCUGGGAAGCGGACAAGAUGUGAGUGGAUGUGUCGAUUGGAAUUCAUUUCACUGUGUUUCUUCUUCUUUUUCUUCUUCCUCCUUUUCUUUUUAAUUUUAAGUUAACGACAACAAAAAUACCCAUUCUCGUCCUCUCUUGUUUCAUGGUUCGUCAGGCUUGAUGUGUACAUCCAUGACUAUUUGUUAAAGAGGAAUCUUCAUGCCACUGCCAAAGCUUUCAUGACUGAAGGGAAAGUUGCGGCCGAACCAGUAGGUAUGAACUAAGAAAAAUCUUUUUUUUUCUUCCAUUUUUUUUACCAUUCAAUCUGAUCGCAAGAUGCAACUUGCUGAGGUUAGUUUCUAUUUACGAAUUAACUGUCUGAACUCUGAAGUCUCAUAUUUAAUCGUUUUACAAAUGCAAUUUUACUUAAUUCUCUUGCUGUUCUGCUUACCUAGUAUAGGGUAUUGCCUUUUGGAAGUGAUUUUCAUUUGAUUUUAACUUGAAUGUGCAGCAAUCGAUGCUCCGGGAGGGUUUCUUUUUGAAUGGUGGUCUGUUUUUUGGGAUAUUUUUAUUGCAAGAACCAUUGAAAAACACUCUGAUGUUGCUGCAACAUAUAUAGAGGUAUUUCUUCUUGUGUCUAUUUGGUAGUUGGUUGUUUUUAUUCUUCUCUCAAAAAAUACAGCAAGCAUGUAUUAGCUUCUUUUUGUCGCAGGUACAACAAAUCAAAGCAAGGGAACAACAACAGCUACAGAUGCAACAGUUGCAACUCAUACACCAAAGGCAUCCUCAAUUGCAGCAUAGAGUUGAUGCCGCUAAUCAUUCUUCUCUUAAUAGUGGACCCUUAAGUACCAUCACCUCUGAUGGAAUAAUGGGACCAUCAACUGCUAGUGUACUUGCAGCCAAAAUAUAUGAGGAGCGGAUGAAGCUUCCCCAUUCAAUGGAUUCUGAUUCAUCUCCACAACUUCUUGAUCCAACAAACAGAAUGGCCCUCCUUAAAUCAGCUGCCCAUUCUGGGUAUUUUGUUUUUACUUUCUUGUUGAAUUUGUUGUGAACUAUGAACAAAAGGUUUAUGAUGUUAUGUGUUUUUGUAUUACAGACAGUUAAGCGGUCAAGGUAACCCAUGUACUGUGUCUGCUGCAUUGCAGCAAAUUCAGGUAUUUUUUCCCAUGUAACUUAUACAAUUUAUAGCUUCUCAUUAUUAACUCCAUCAUCAGCUGAUGGAGUGGUAUGGUAGUAACUUAUUAAAGUAUUAAUUUAAUUUAAAAUAUUAAGGGUUUGCUAGGUUUAGUUUUCAUCCUCAUUUUAUUAUUUUUCCACAGGACAUUAAAGGUGAAGUUAAUUUGGGUGGAGCACAAAGAUCUUUGCCCAUGGAUCCAUCUUCAAUUUAUGGAGCUGGAAUUUUACAGUCAAAAUCUGGACUUGGUCCUGCUGGUGAGCAUAUUGUCUUGAUAUUUACUAUUCAUUCGUUUCUACUCUUUCUAAUUGUCUAUUAUGUUAAAGAAAUAAGUAGCGUGGUCUUGUGGUUUAGACUUUAAAGCUAAAGUAUACUGAGUUGAUUUUACUGGUUGUGAGUGACCAAACUGUUAUUCUUUCUCAAUACAGGGAUGAACACGGGUGGUGUCAGUGGACUUCCUUUGAAGGGAUGGCCUUUAACUGUAAGAUACAUAACACUUGUGGUUUCCAAGAUAUAGCUUAGUCACUUAGGGUAACUUUUGGAUUUUUUUCCAUCCAUGGCAACAGGGAUUAGAUCAACUGCGUCCAAAUCUUGGUUCUCAAGUUCAGAAACCUUUUAUACCCACACAGUCUCAAUUUCAAAUGUUGUCGGCACAGCAGCAACAGCAGAUUCUGGCUCAGGCACAGGCUCAAAGCAAUCUUGGCAACCAAGCUAGUUAUGGUGAUAUAGAUCCUCGUAGAUUUAGAGGCAUGCCUCGGUCAAACAUGAAUGGAAAAGAUGGUCAGCCUUCUGGUACUGAUGGAUCACUUGGGUCCCCAAUUCAAUCACCCAAACUUCGACAGGAUCAGGUUGAUUAUCAGAUGAAGGUUUGUUUUAUAAUUCAUAUGAUUCUUAUCUAAACAAGUCACAGUAGUAAGAAAAAGGAAUAUUUAAAAAGGUGUUCCUCAUCAAAAUUUUCUUUUGAAAUUUCAAUAUUUUAGAAGCUUCUUUAGUCGCAAAUCGUUGAAAUGUUCUAUACUUCUUUCUAAUUCACCGUCAGACUGUUCUGAUAUAGUAAUUUAAUCAUUUUAUAUAUAAGUUUCUUGCCGGUCAAUGUCUACAUAUGAUUAACUUUGAAAAAUCGAACUAGCUGAAGAUGGCCCAAUUACAACAUAGCCUUUCUGUUCAGCAAAUGCAAGAUCAAAUGCAGCAACAACACUAUCAACAAUUGCAGCAGGUAUUUUCUCACAAUUUGUUAAAUUAUUCUGUUUGCCUUUUUUGGUCAAACUUCUCACCUUGGUAAAAAGGUAAAUGUGUGUAGAUACAAAUUAAUAACAAAAAAGUAAACCUAAACUCACAUCGUGAAGUUGAGAUAGAAUUCCUAAUGAUUCUAGGUAUUUAACCCAAGAAAAUUUAAGGAAACUCUUUCUCAUUGGGAGGCACUAUCCCAAAGAUACCAUCCCAUUAGUUUUCUGGUAGCUUGCCAUGUUGUUUUUAGUCUCUAGCUAGAGUAGAUCAUAAUCAUCAUAGUAUGCUAGUUUUGCCGUUUUCAUUAUUGAUUUUUUGUUUUGCAAACAAUGCAAACCUCAACUAAACCCUUUCUAGAUUCGUGUGGCAUAUAAUUUUGUAAAAUUAAAUUCUCUUCACUUAUGUAAGAGAUAUAAAUGUGACAACUUUAGUAACUGUGAGUUUGACAAUUUGUAGAUUUUUUUUGAAUUAAAUGUGGGAAAAAUACAUUAUGAAAAAGGAAGAUUUUUUGUUGUUGACUAGUUAAGCUUUGAUAUUUGUAAAGGUAAAUUCAUCCAAACAUAUUUCUUAUUAUUAUGUAACAGAACACCAAAAAAAGGAAGCAAGCUUCUUCUGGUGCUGCCAAUAGCAUUGGAACAGGCAAUACAGCAAAUUCACCUCCAUCUACACCAUCUACUCACACAGCUGGUGAUGCAUCAAUAAUAGCUGGAAAUUUGCCUCGUGUUAAUAGCAUGCAAAAAAGCUUAGGUAUGUAUGGUUCAGAUGGAACAGGUGGACUGGCAUCAUCAACAAAUCAAUUGGUACUUGUUUUACUAUUUUGUUUAUAUUUCAAAAUUUUCAAAUUGAGCCCUUCUUUUGUAGAGUUACAAUGCCUUAUUUGAAAUAAAAGGUAUCAGAUAGUAAUGUUAUUUUAAUUUUAAAAAAUGCAGGAUGACAUGGGGCAGUUUCCUGAUGUUGGCUCAUUGGAUGAUAAUGUUGAUUCUUUCUUGUCAAAUGAUGACGUUGAUACAAGGGACAUAUUUGCUGCAUUGAAAACUGCAGAGCAAAAUGCAGAUCUGUUAAAAAGUUAGUGUUCCUCCUUGUCCAGAUAUUACAUAGUUUCCUGUAUUCUACUAGAGCAUUAAAAUUCUGGAGUACAUUGUGUUUCAGAUGUCAGUUUUUCUGAGUACAGAUGUAUUCGUACAAGCAACAGCAAGGUUGUUUGCUGCCAUUUUUCUUCAGAUGGAAAAUUCUUAGCCAGUGCUGGGCAUGAAAAGAAGGUAAUACAUGCAAGGUUUGUAAUGUAUGAUAUUUUUUCUAGGCUAACGAAAACUUUUGUUUGACUGUUAUUUUUUAUGCAUCGAAUUAUUGAUUGUGACGAUGCUUGUUUUUUUUUCUCACCUCUUGGUUAAGUUUAAAAAUUCAAAUGAUUUGAUGCAUGAGGCUAGGGAUUUAAACUCUACUGGCCACUACAUCAGUUUUAACUACUUCCUCAAAGGGAAUUCCGUGAUCUCCCUCGAGGGUUUUACCCCUUCCAUUGUUGUAUGAUCGUCGCAGCUUUUUUUUAUAUCUGAGUUAUCAGGGAAAAAACUGUAAUGAUUUUUCUUGGUUUUAGGCUGUGAUUUGGAACAUGGACACACUGCAAACUGAGAGUACUCCUGAAAACCACACACUUAUAAUUACUGAUGUUCGAUUUAGAACAAAUUCAACUCAGUUGGCGACAUCAUCAUUUGAUAGAACUGUCAGACUUUGGGAUGCAUCUGAUGUAAUGAUUUUUACCCUUUCUCAUUUUUAUUCCUGCAUAAAGCUGUAAACAGGUUCCACUUCAUUAUAUUUAUUUUAUAUGAAUACAUUUUUUUUCCCACCUGCAGCCAAGUUAUUGUUUGUACACUUUUGACAAACACAAUUCACAUGUGAUGUCUCUGGAUUUUCAUCCAAAGAAAACGGAUCUUUUAUGCUCGUGCGACGGAAACAGUGAAAUACGGUUUUGGAGUGCUACAACUUAUAACUGUUCAAGAGUUACAAAGGUUAAAUUUGGCAACAAAAAUCAUGCAUUUGAUUGUAUCCAGGUAUUCUGAGAUUUUCUUUUGUAAACCCAGGGCGGCACUGCACAAGUCAGGUUCCAACCCAGACUUGGACAAUUUCUUGCUGCAGCGGAGGGAAGUGUGGUUUCCAUUUUUGACGUCGAAAUGGACAGGAAAAUACAAUCCCUGCAGGUAUAUUUUUGCAAUCCCCCUUGUUCCAAUAAUGUGCAACCCAAGCUCGAAACUCAAAUGGCUUUGACCGUGAUCUGGAAUAUUACUGCCAUUAACAGCUUUUUCAUAAGACUUGCAAUCUAAAUUAUCUAACCAACAAACCAACUUCACUAUGUGACUACUGUUACCACAGUGCAUUCAAUAUUUCGAUGACAGAAUGGAUUACAUUUGACCUUACCAAUUCAUGUUCAGGGUCAUGGCAGUGAAGUGCAGUCCGUCUGUUGGGAUGAAAGUGGAGAUUAUUUGGCGUCGGUCAGCCAGGAUUCCGUGAAGGUGUGGAGUAUAGCCUCAGGAGAGUGUAUACAAGAGCUACGGUCAAGCGGAAACAAGUUCCAUUCAUGUGUUUUUCACCCAACCUCUCCUGAUAUACUCGUUGUCGGAGGCUACCAGGUAAAUCCGGUAUUUUGAAUCCAAUUCCCUUAGUUUCAACCUUGAUUUUUACAAAAAACUGUUAUUUUUGGUGUUACCAAAUACACACUGCAGACAUUGGAGUUGUGGGAGAGGUCGUUGAACAAGAGCAUGUCCGUUGAAGCGCACGACAAUCUGAUCGCCGCUUUAGCACAGUCGCCUGUCAAUGGAAUGGUCGCAUCUGCAAGUCAUGAUAAAUCUGUAAAACUCUGGAAAUGAAUCAGUAGUAAAAUUGGAGGUAGAAGAUGAAGAAUAUGUUUAAUUUUGAGUUUUAAUCCAAACAAACAAAGUAGACACAACAAACAAAGUAAUUUGGGGGUAUAUUUUAUGCCCUCUUUGAAAUUCUUCCUUUUCUAGUUUUUUAUUUAUUGAUUAUAUAAGAGAAUCUUUCAUACAUUAUUGUAUUUCUUCUGUUCAUUGUAUUUUAACUCAAACUAACAUCAUGAUCAUUUGCAUAUGAUUACAUUAAAACUAACCUACAGGCUAUAGCUAGAACAAACAAAAAAAAACAGUUGAAUUUUUUUUAAAAUAAACAAACAAACACAGCGGUUACAAAAAAAAAGCAACAUCAAAGAAACAAACUCAACGUCUUUUUUGUACGCACCAACGGUUUAGUUCAGUUGGGUUGACGACAUCAGUUAUGUGGACCCCACUCAUAACUAAAGAAGACACGUCGUUAUAAAUCUUCAUCCCAUCAUCAUCAUCUUUCUCCACUUUCUCCUCCUCCGUUGUUGGGCUUGGGUUCCAUCUUUGACCCAUCAACGUACCACGUUUCAAAUACUCAUGAGCUAGGUAACCGGCGAAAAGCAUGUUGUUGUUUCCUUUUCCUUUUCCAGUGGUAGUAGUAGUAGCAGUAGCAGUAGCAGUGUUGUUGUUGGGUUUGGGCUUCGGCGGAGGUAGCUUGGGUUUUGUCUUUUUAUGUGGAGGACGACGUGGUGAGAAAAUAACAUGUGGUGUUUCAAGGGUAUUUUUGUCUUUCCGUUUUUUCGUAGAACCUAACGGCGUCAGUAUUUGACGGAAACCGGAAUGGCCAGUUGCUGUGGGGACGGAAGUCGACAUCCCUUGCCAGUUGUCAGUUGCCACUGAUUUUAUUUAUAUAACUAAUAUUAGUAAAUUAGGCAAUAAAUAAAUAAAUAAAUAAUAAUAAAGUGACAAUUAAUUAAUUAAUUAAAUAAACGGCUAGAAUCUAAAUAUAAUAAGAAUGGAAAAUAGGAGAAGAAGAACGAAACGUACGAGGAAGGGAGAAAAAGGGGGGAAAUGAUCGGGUGAGGAGGGCAAAAUCGUAAGAAGAAGGUGAGAGAUUAAAGGAGAUCCGUUGGUUAAAAAUAGCCCACCCACACCCAGCGACGUAUGGCGGAAAAACGACUAGAUCGCCGAAGAAGGAGGAGGGAGUGGUCCAAACAGUGCAGAUUUGAGAGAGGGUCAAGGUGGAGAAUGAGAGGAAACGAGGAAACAACAAACAGGAUCGGAUAAAUUUCGUCCUCUGGCUAGCUACUUAUAAAGGAAACGCUGUUUCAGUAUGCCCCUUAGCUUUAUGCUAAUUUACAUCAUUUUGCCAUUGGUUUUUCGAUAGAUGAAUCAAAAUUAUAUUUACAGAAAUAACCUUCACACGGUAAAAAUAAAAAUGGAUUUCUUUUUAAACCUUUCAUUAAUAAUCCUAGGUUUUUACCCACAACACAGGACUCAUGUAGUCAUGUGUGAGUGAUGAAUUCAAUUCUCACUAUUUUUAUAAGUUAGGUAUAAGUUAGUUAGUUGUACUUUUCCUAACACAAUCAUUUAUUUACUUUUGUUAGAAAAAUCAUCAAUUACACUCGUCUUUUUUUCACCUUUAGUUUUUAUAUUUUCGUAUUGUGGAUAAGGUAAUCGUUUUUUAUUAAAAGUUAAAAUUAUGGUUAAAAUUAAUUAUGGUUAAAAGUUAAAAUUAAAUACUUUAAAGGUAAAACUAACUUAAAUAUAUAUCAAUUGUAUUGUUGACUUAAUGUAGUCUUAUUUUUUAAUUUAAAAUUCAAUGUUAUUUUUAAAUCAUCUUUAAACCCUUUAUUCGACCUAUCUUGUUCUCGCAGUCAGUUCUUAUAAUUAUUUCAAAUUAUACUCAGUUUUGACAAAAUGAAAGAAAAAAACGAUACGAAUUAUGAAAGCAAACAAAAUGAAAAAUGCAUGGGAAGGAAACUAAAAAUAAAGAGUUUUAACUCUGGUCUUCUCACUAACCAUGUUGGUGAUAGAGUUGCAACAUCACAGGGAAGCAAUGUUUCAUACUCACUCUUGCGACUGUACACCAGUCACUCCCGUCAAUAAGGACUCGGGUUUCGUUCGCUUUAUGCAGAUCCCCCAGAAGUCUUCGUCGAGACCCGAGUCAACUCUCUGUCGAUUGGGUCUGCCAAAUCACCAAUUGGGGUGGCAAAUCGCCGAGUUGAGAAGAAGAUCGCUAGAGUCUGGCAGGCUGUCGAUCUUCUCUCUGAAUUCGUCGAUUUCACCCCCAACUCGACGGUUACACCCCAAAUCACCGAUUUGGACCGUUACUUGCGUUCAGCUCGAGCCAUAAUGGUCGUAAUGGCCGCCAUUAUGACCGGACACGAUCUCCGUCGUGGAUUACGCCCCUAUGAGAGGACAUUUUGAUCAGGAGACCUUGCAACUAGUUCCCACGUCUCGUUCUCCAUUUAGGCGUCAUAUUCAACUUUCAUGGUUGCCGACCAAUGUUGGUCUUCCAGAUCUUUAACUGCACCUGAGGGGAUAGGUGGAGGAGAGAAAAGUUGACACACAUAUUUUGGAUUCGGCUUUCGAAUCCCGAUUUGAGACCUUGUGAGCAUGUCGUGCCGACGAAGGUUGGGAACUUCGUUCGAGCCAUCUGUAUUGAGCAGCUCUCCCGCGGCUGCCGUGUCAAUAACCUGGGUCGGGGGUGCAUCAUGUGACGUUUGAACUGGGUCUAAGCCUGAAUCAUGUUGAAGGGCAUGAUGUUUGUUUUUCUCGAUGAUGGCUGGAGCACUUGUGAACUCUGGUGUAGAUAACGAAGCCGACUUGGUUAUUGUUAAUUCUUGACUUUGAUUAAAAUCAUUUUCAAAAAAUAUGCAGUCUCGCAAAAUAAUAAUUUUUCCGGAUCUUGGAUUAUAAUAAAUAUACCCUCGGUGGUGCGAUGGAUAUCCGAGAAAAAUAUAGGGGUCCGUUCGAAAGGAGAAUUUAUUUUUCCGGGUUGGUCUCAAAUUAGGAUAGACGAGACAACCAAAUACCCGGAUAUCUUUGUAAUUUGGGACUGAAUCGUACAUUACUUCAAACGGCGAUUUUCCGGCAAGAGUGGACGUCGGCGUUCUAUUAUAAAGGAACGCGGCAGUGUGAAAGGUGUACUGCCAGAACCGGAGAGGAAGAGCACUGUGAUGAAGGAGUACGAGCCCAAUGUAGACUAUGUGCUUGUGUCGUCGCUCGACUGUACCCAUCUGAGCGUGGGCAUAUGGACAGGAGAAUCGGUGUUCACUUCAGCAACAUAAGUCCUGAAGGAUCGAAACUCACCAUCGUUAUCAGACUGAAUAGUCUUAAUUUUAUUUCAUGUUUGUUUUUCAACGUAUGCUCUGAAUAGUUUGAAGGUUUGCAGAGUAUCAGACUUGGAUGUCAGGGGAAAAAGUCAGUUAUAUUUUGUGUAACCAUCCACGAAAUUGACGAAGUAAUAGUGACCUUCAGUGGAUGGCUCAGGUGCCGGUCCUCAUAGGUCAAUGUAGAUUUAAGUCAAGAAGUUGUUUAGCCGAGUUUUCCUGUCUUGAAGGAUGAGGAAGACGGUGGUGUUUACCGGAGAUGCACAAAUGACGAGCAGAAAUUUGAUUUUUAUUUAACUUUAGUAAAUCAUAUUGCUUUACAAUUUCUAAGGUUAAUUUUGGUGAUAAGUGACCCAGACGAGCAUGCCACAGAUCAACCGAAACCUUGCCCACUGUAUUGACCUCCGGCUGUGCCGAAUUUUCCAAGUCCAGCUCAUAUAGUCCGUGCCUGUCCACCUUCCCCUGAGCUAUAACAUCUUCAGUAUGCAUAUCAAUUACAUAGACAGAUGAUGAUUCGAAGAACAUCCCAAAAUUAUUAUCUUUACAUAGCUUGUUCACUGAUAAAAGAUUCCGAGAAACCGAGAGAACAAUCUGCAGAUCUUUUAAAUCAACCUUCUUUGAACCUAAUUUGAAGGUCACAUCUCCUACUUUGGAUGCUGGAAUUACUGAGCCAUUCACAAUUGUAAUUCCUGAUGAUUUUAAUAGAGGUUUAGCAAAUUGAAUAAACCUGUCAUUACUUGAUACAUGACCUUCCACUCCGCUGUCAGAAUUCCAGAGAGCGUUGAUUUUCUCCGGAGUCGCAUAACCAGUUGCUUUCUUUCCAAUAGACAACUGCUUUGCUCAAUGUUUCGGUGGAGAAGGGUAGAGAUCCUCAUUGUGUUUAUUGUGACAUGCGAUAGGUAGAUGCCCCUUCUUGGUGCGGAUUUGGCAAGAAACACGCUCUUUCUUGUACGAUUUUGUCAUGUUCACGGAUGAAAAAAGCUUGAGACAGACCACAGACUUUAGCGUUUCUGAUUUCUUGAUUCAUGAGGAGUACCCGCAUUGUUUGAAUGGUCAUGGUGGCUAGCUGAGAAGAGAUUACUGCCACAAUGGACUCAAAGUCAGAGUCUAGACCUCCGAUGGCAUACAAAAUAAUUUCAGAAUCGGAGACCAUAACGCCCCCUGCUCGAAGAUCCUGGACCAAUUUUGUUAUCCUAAGGAGAUAGGCUUCUAUCGAUGACUCACCUUUCUGCAGUGUCUGUGGUUGAUGCCGGAUCUGUAGAAUUCUCGAGCCGAACGAGGAGGCAUGAAUUUCUUGCAGAGUUGACCAUACGGAUGCCAAAGAAUCAAGGCCGGUUACCUGUGAUAACACGCUCGACGAUAGCGUCGAGAAGAUCCAUCCAAGAACUAUUUGGUCUUGUUGGAUUUUGAGGUCGUCGUCUAGAACGAUCAAGCCUUCAACGUACGGGAGCAAAUCAUACUCGUAUAACAGAGUCUUGACCUAUGCUCGCCAGUUGAAGAAGUUGUUACUGGUAAGUUUUUCCACGCUUACUUGUUUAAUCUUAACCAGUUUGACCUGCCGUAGGGAGCUGUUGGUGGAAUCGGUAGCCAUGACCGAUCACUGAAGCAAGAACCUCGGAGGGAGAAGAACUUAAAAAAAACGAACAGCGACUCAAACGACCCAAGAUCGGAAAGUCGAACAACUAGCAUCUGAUACCAUAUUACAACGAUAUUCAAUUGAUCUGUAUUUGAGUGAGUUUGAACGUUAAUUAUAGUACUUAUUUAUAUUAGUAAUAGUUAGUUACAACAACUACUAAUUUGUUAGUUGUCCAAACGGAUUAGAUUUGCCUAAUCCGUAACAGCCCCCAGAGGUCCUAUAAAAGGGGACUCCGGGCUCAAUCCAAAGGCAUCGGUUCCAUCAAUUUUAGAGCGUAAUUCACGAAGCAAUCACCGAUUUCCUUCCAGAAGACUUGACGUAAAACGCACGUCGUGGAUUUCAGAGGCUCCGACAUGAGAUGGUAGCUGCUCGCACCACUGUGACCGCUGGUAGGACUUUCUAUUUCUCAUCAGACUCACACUUCAAUCAUCCAAAGACAGAGUUAUAGAAAGAAUUAGUUUUCGUAGGUUCUCCUUUAAUCGUUGAUUUCGCUCUUCCCAGAUUUGCCAUGAAAUGACCACCAUGUUACACCAGUAUAAGCCUGUAAACCUCAAUAUUUCGAUAUUAUAGUGAUGAAAUUGAAAGAGAUUGCAAAUUUGCAAUGUUUUCGAAAUCCAUGACUUGCGGCAUUAAUUGUAUAGCAUUCUCUACAAUUUCCACGAACUUUUGUAGAUCCACCUGGAGUAAGCACAAUUAAAAAAAGAUGUGAUUAUUCUGCUUGUGGACAACAAAGAAAAUAUAUAUCGUCGAUGACAUUUGUAUCAUUAAUCUGAGGUCGAUCUAGAGGUGGUAAUUUCCUCAAACGUAGAAAUUGAUUUUGGGGAUUAUGCACGCCCAAACACUUUCUGUAUAUAUGUAUCGAUCCUUCAACCUUUUUAAUUGUAUUGUGCACGCUAAUGAUGUUGCGUAAGGAUGAACCAGAGUCUCUGCCCUGCUAAUUAAAAAUACCCAGUGGCACACAAUCCAUACAUUCCCCAAUUAGGUCACGAUGCUUUAUUUUGCAUCUCCAGCAGGAGGCGUUCGUAUCAUUAUAUUUUUUUGCAUUUCAUUCAAUGUCGAGUCUUUGACAUACCUCUUCAACAUCCAUCUAGCCCAUAUGUUCUUAUCGGUCAUGAGUCUUCCCACUCUUUGCACAAUUGUUGAUUUUUAAUCAAAUGUCUUCAAAACAGCACAUCGAUCCCAAUCCCUCCCUCAUGCCGAAGAUAAAUCAUGGAGCUCCAAGCGAUCUCGUGCUGUAUUCCUCACAGGAAAUUUUAAUGCCACCGAUCUAAUCGUGUCUAAAGUGUGUUGCGGAAUUGACGAGGACUGCAUCAAGUAGUUGGACUUCCCUCUGAAGACCCAUUGGAUAAAUUGGACUCGAUCGGCGUAUGAUAGAUGUAUAUCUAUUGUUUCAUCUUGUAAGGAGAGAAUGUAGACUAGUAAUCAAGUAUGCACGUACAAUCUUUGCGUCAAAUUCCUCUACCGGUAAUGGGAGCCUCAAGAUGAUUUAUCGAUAAAGAUUUGUCCGAAAAUCCAAUAAUAUUGCUUAGAGCAUCACUAUACUCUAGUCGAAUAUAUCACAAAACUCUUUGUAUCUCAUCAAAGCGCUACUGAUCUUGGCUGUGGGCGAAGGUCUGUUUUUUCAUAGUGUAUAUUCACCCACAGACCAGAGAAAUUUGUGAAUUCAUUGAGUACCUUUCGCAGAGCUUGGAAGGAUUUUGGUGCAGAAAAAAUUAAUAUCACACGUUUAAAUUAAAUGAGAUUCAACCAAAGCACCUCCCAUCGUGUAUAACUCGAGCCUUCUAUCUUCAUCCGCAACUGCUGUGAGGCGGGAGAUAUAUAUAUUCCAUAGAAAUAAUAAAUAGAAGGGGUGACAAUGGAUCUCUUUUUCGUAUUCUAUGAUUCUUAGAAAAAACAAUUAUUGACGAGCCCUCAACAAGUGCUGAAAAUGAAGACGAGGAAACACAUGCCAUGAUCAAUUAACGGAACGGAUCAUUUUACCUGAUGGUGCCAAGAUAUUUCUAGUACUCAGUUGAUCUCCCAAAGUCGAAGGCUAGCUAGGUCACCAAUCUUCCAUCUUCCACUCUUUGGUAUCUCGUAGUUCCCUUUGGAAUGGCCAAGAACCUCUCCCAUAUCUUAAACCUAUGGGAUAUAUAUAGCGGGUCAUCACAUGGGACUUUCGGUCUUGGGCUUUGUGGGCUUGGACUGAUAUAUGUUCUUAGGCCUCUGGACUGGGGGUAUCAUCUGUACCCUAUAAGUUUCAUGGACAUCUGACCCCAUCUAAUGGUAUCAAAGGCUUUUCUAAAGUCUACCGAUGUCAUUGCCCUUCUUGAUUUUUUACGUUGAACCCCGUUGUAAUUAAACUCCUGAGUUAAUGCAAUGUUAUUGUCACUAAUUCGACAGUUUAGUAUAGAGAAAUUUGAUUCGACGAUAUCAUAUAUAUUUGGUCACCUGCUAGCUAUCCCAAAAGCUUUCAACCUUUUUUGGCGAAUAUGGUUGAAGCAACUUUUCAAACGAUGGAUGGAUUAACAGCAAGGGGAGAAACCUGCAAUCUAAUCUUCCAAUUAUGUGAAUUGGACAAUGAAUCAAUAGAACAUACAUUCUUUACUCAAAUUGGAUCAUCAAUGAAGGUUUGAAGACAUUGUGAGUUGUUCAUCUUAAAAUUAAGGAUAUAUACCAUCUUUCUAAAUGCUUCCUAAGAUAAGCAGUACUAUCCUUUGGUUUGACAACAAACAUUGAUUUACAAUGCAAGCAUUUAGCUUUGCGGACAUCACUCGCCAUAAAAACAUCAUAAUUUUUCCAAACAUCAUAUUUUAAUUUGCUCUUUAAAUCAUUUACAUCGUUAAUAUCUUCAUUUCUCUGAGAUGGACUAACCCUUAUAAAAAAUUUAUAAUCCUACUAAUUAAUGACUAAUGAUAAGUAUUAAACAAGUUAUAGAUUGAUAAAAAAAUAGAAAGAAAUAAUAGUUAGAGAAAUCUAAUUUCUAUUUAGUUAGCUCUAAACAUGGAAUAAAACUUCUCAUUGCCUUCAACUUCAUUUUUAAGACAUAAAUAUGAAAGACAUUAACUCCAGUCUCUAGUAACGAAUACAUUAAAAGGAAAAAAUAGCUAAGCAAUAAAGGUUUAUAACAAAAUGUGGUUUGAAUGAAUGCACCACAAAUGAUUCAAUGUAAAUCUGUGAAAUAACUAGUGAAUCAUGACUGCAAGCAACAUUAGUGUAAAAUAUUGUAGUAAAAGUAAUAGAGAUGCAUAACUAAAAGCAAAUGUUUAUCACUUUGUUUGAUUCUUAAUCAAACACAAUCUAAAUACUAAAAAUCCAAAUGAAAUACAUUCAUUUAUAUCAAGAAAACAUGAUGAUACUAGGAGUAAUGGAGAAGAUAUAUGGUGAUAUGGAUAUGUUGGCUGGUCGUCGAUUAGGACGAAAGACAUGCGACUUAGUUUUUUAGGGCUAUUAGGUUUAGGCAGAGGUUAGGGUUUACUGUGAACUAUGUGAGAAUGUGAUAGUGUGAUCAGAUCUAGAUAUAUAAGAAUUAAAAAGUUUAUUUUUUAAGUUUUAAGUACGUCUUAACUUUUUAAUUAAGUUUAAGUUUUAAGUCACUUUAAAAGUUAAGACUAUAAAUUACUAAUUUACUAUAAUCUAAUAAAAGUAUAAAUUAAUAUUUAAUGAUAGGAGAAAUAUUAAAAGAAAGGUUGUAUCUUAUGGUCACCCUUGGCGAGUUAUUUCUUCAAAAGAAUUUGACAUUUUGAACUAUUAAUUAAAAUAAAGACAUUUUGAGAUAUAAAAAAGUAGACAUUUUUCAUUUUUCAUUUCGAAUUAUUAUUUUUCCUGAUAGAUAUACAUACUCAUAGAUAAUCAUAUAUAUACAAUUAGAUUCAGAUGCGUCAAUACGUCAUGUCUCAGUGGGCCGAUUAAAUAAUAACGAUAAACGAUUUAAAUAAAUAAAUAUUGAUAGAGAGAUGAUCCGAAGACAUGAUGAAUGAUUGCUUGAAUGAAGAUGCUUGUGCGGAAACGAUGAGAGAUUCAAUGAUAACGAGAGAAUUGCAAUGUGUGUUGAUAUGUAAAAUAUUAAAAUAGAGAGUUAACCACUAAUGAAGACCUAAGUGUGUUUAAAUAGUUAAACACCCAACGACCAUGUUUGUUGUGUGUUUAAUUAUUCAAUGGAAAGUCAUAAAUGACAUGUCGGGAUGUGAAGAAUAUUCUAAAAUGGAAUGUGAAUGGUUGUCAACUUGUCGUGUGUAUGAAUGAAGGGAAAUGAAAUAAUAUUAGAGUGUGUAAUGUGUAAUAGUUUUUGACUUUUUUCUUGCCCCGACCCGACCGCUGCCCCAGUCCUCUUCUGCCACAUUUUUCGGAAUGGAUCUCAGGGCAAGACUACGACCCAUUCUCAACCCUACCGUAAGUAUUAGAAAAAGAGAAAUGAAUGAAUUAUUAUUCAUUUAUAGAAACUAAAAAUAUAGAAGAAAAAUAGAAUGAAGAUAAUAGAAAUGAAGAUUUGAUAAUGGAAAAAUAAACUACCGAAUUUUUUAAGGGAUGUGAUAUUUUUUUGUGUUUACCAGAAAAUUUCAAGUCCAGCAAGCAAUGAUGUAACAUUAUUACAAGCCAAACACUCACGAGAAAUAAAUGAAAAAUAUCAAUGACAGCCUAACACCAUCUAGCCCUUUCAGCCUCUUGCCAAAUCUGCAGUUGUUCCAUAUCUAUCCAUUACCUUCCUUGUGGCAAGUGCAGCAGCCUCGCUAGCCCGCAUUGUCCCUGAAGCCAUUAAUUCACUAAACUCCCUAGUUAUCUCAUCCUGCACCUUAUUUCUAGCUGAACCAAGUGGGUCCACCAUUGCCUCUCCAGAAGGAGGCUGCUCUUUCUUGCUAGUCUCAAUAGCCCCAUCCUUUGAAGACACACAAGUAUCUACUUUCUGAUUAUUGGAUUUUGAUGGGGAUUGUCCAGCUAAAGUUGAAGAAGCCAUGGGAUUCAACUGAGGAGCUUGAGGAACAGAACCAGCCUUCAAAGUAGUUUCAAGCUGCUGAAACAUGGGAACUGAAAAAAAAUACAAUCAUUAUCAUCCACUAAGCAGACAUUCAAUUCAAUUGUAUGUUUUCAGAUGAGAAUAACUUACGUAUCAAAGGACUCAAUGGACUAUUCAAAACCUCAUUAGGAAGCUGAAGGAUAUAAUCAGGAAUGGAAACCCCAACAAGAAACUGUGCGACUUCAUUGCUGAAGUUAUUGCAAUUGUGACUAAAUAAGUUGUAAGUCUCCAUUGUAUAGCGUGGAGCAAUUUCACGCAAGUAUUCAUCAAAGAGGUCUGAUGGUACAUGCGUUAUUCCGAGAUUAAUUACCUUUACUGGCUUUCCGUAUGGUGUUUUCCCAGAUGGAGUGCAUUGGAUUCCACCUCCAAAGAAGUAUUCAUUUCCAUACACUACCAAUCCCGUGUGCCUAAUUCAACAUAAAUAUCUCAAAAUCAUUCUAUGUUUUUUUUUAAUUAAAAAAAAUCUAAAAUUCAACAAAUCAUGAGAUCAAUACAGUAAGUAACACACAAACCUAAUCAUAAAUCAUAAUAAAUAGUUGUUAACAACUAAGUGUUUAUAAGUGUUGAAUUUUUACAAGGUCAAAGCAGCGAAGUGAAGAACAAGUCCAUGAAUUAAAAAAACUAUUUUAAUUUAUGUAAUAUUUCUGACGAGAAUCCUAACAUGUAAACUAAAUUAAAGAAGCUAAAGUCCAAGUAUUUCAUAAAUAAAAAUAAUAAUUGAAGUCUAAAUUAACUAUGUACAGAUCUACUCCAACUUCUCCAAGUCUUAAAACUGUAUUAAUCAUAAUUUUCCAAGAUCUAAAUUUUCAUAAUUUUCGUCGAUUCCAUUGGUUCUACAUACAACAGACUAUACCCACCACCUACUCUUAAGCACUUACACUACAAAAAUCAAAAUUCAAAAAAUCGAUUAAGGUUGAAUAUCUAUAUAUUAUCGUAGUGAAUCCAAUAAAAAGUAUCCAAUAAGGGGAAAUUUUUUACCAAAUCCCAUCGAUCGUCUUCCCCAACAAUGUCGACGAAAACUGACGAGCAAGCCCUUGGCUGAGAUCAUACACAUUCAAAACAACCUUGUUAUCCUCCUGCAAUGCAGAAAAAGAAAUCGUCACCAAAGAACUUCCCAGAUCGACAAAACCAACGACGCCAUAAACAAAUCUUUAAAAAAAAAACUGCGAAUAGAUCAACGAAAUCGGACAUCACCUCCGCCAUAUCGUACAAAAAUCCAGAGAAUGAGUAGCCGGAUCGGAGAAGGAUCUACGCACCGAGAGAGAAAGGGGAAAAUAAAAUGAACAGACAAAACGUUGAAGAAUGAAAACACAGGAGAGAAAAAAAAUAAAAAUAAAUGUCUUUCUUACUUGGCCUUCAAGAUGUAAUAGAAAACGGACGCGUGUCAUUAAUCUAGUGGUUAAUUGAAAAAAGAAAGUUCUAGAAGACCGUCAUGAUCUGGAUUUACAACAAUAAUUGACCCUUUAAAGUUUAAACUAAAGGAUUUAUUUGUAAAAUUCCCUUCAUCUUUUUUCUCAAUUACCUAUCAACGUUCAAACAAAGAAUUAAACAUCCAUAGCCAUUGGCAACAAUGGCAAGUGGCAAUUGAACUUUGAACAUAAACAAUCAAGAAUUAAUACUUAAUGAUUUAUAAUACAAAUGUUGAAGAAGAUCAGUAGAUGAUUGCUUAAUUGCAGGAAGAGUCAAUCAGAAUUGCAACUACUAAAAAACUCUACAGGUAAUGUUGAAGAAGAUCAGUAGAUGAGUUCCUUAAUCUACAGCUCUGUCCAAGGUGAACAUCUCCAAAAACAUAUCUGUCAUAACAAAACAUAUUAAUACAUAAAAUGAAAGAAAACAAAUCAACUUCCAGUUCUUUAAAAGUUUAAAAUUGAAGUCAUAAAGCAUACAUACCUGUAUUCACAAUGCUCGGGCCAUGAACAUCGAGCUUUGCCAUAAUCCCAAUAACAAUCAACGUCUCUCAAUGGUCCACGUACGGCUGCUAAUAUUGAAAUGUAUGAGAGGUUAGCUGGCUGUUUUCAUCGAUGCAUGUGUAUACAUUGGUUUAUUUGUCCAUUUUAAUGAAUCUUGUAAUGUAUUGUGUGCCAUACCGCCAUCAAUGAUUUAAGGAAUUAGAAGUUUAAUACUUCAUUUUAAAAAUUUGGUCAUUAGAAGUUUAAUUGUUUUAUAUGCAAUGCAUAUCACUCCAAUGAACACAACUUAUAACCACUUUCAUUUACCAGAUGAAAUUCUACAUGGAUAUAACUAUAUCACCUCUCCAUGAAUUCAUUAUGAUGUAUACACAUGGAUAUAACUAUCAUGAAGAAAAAUUAUAACCUUUGGUGACGAAUGAUGACUGCAUAUUAGGAUGUAUAUCAUGCCACAUCUGAAGCCACAACUCACGCAUCAAAACUUGCAUCCUCACAAUGUUCCUGUGGUUUGCUACAAAUGUAAAAAAAUUAUUAACAUCUUUGUCAAUCAAUAAAUAAAGUCAAUCGUUUUUAGUAAAAUCUUUAUUCAUGUCUCACCUUUAUCAAGCUCCCAUACAGCUGUCUUCCUCCCUGGCCUACUUUCAGCAUCUUCAUAAUAGGUUAUGUAUUUUACACGAGAAGCUCUGGUCAUGUUUGGGACAAUGUCUUUGUCAUUUUCAUGCUCUACAUUAAGCUCGAUUUGUACAUCAGACCCAUCAUGUUCUGACUGCCAUUUAACGAUUGCAAAAGGACAAAAAAUCAUAUUCAAAACCAGAUAUGGAAAUGUUUUUGGAUCCAAAAUCAGACAAUUUUUAUUCUUAUUUUUUUAUAUUAUCCCACCAAAUCUGAUAAUCAGACAUUGAAUGCAAGUGUAAAAAAAAACUUUAAUGAUUUAUCAAACAUCCCACAAUAUUUCCAUUACUCCAUUUGAAAUGUAUAUUAGCGUUUAUGCGGGUGUGUGAUAAGAAUUACUUGCUGUAAAAGUGUGGAUCCCCAAAUUCAAAUAUGAAACAAUGCGGGUGGUUAUUCUGAUCUAUAAGUCACAACAAGCCCUAUUAUUUGCAUUAAUAUAGAAAAUUACUUAAUUAUCAGAUUAAUAUUAUAAACAAUACGAUAAGAAGAAACAAUCAAUUUCAUAAAGAAAGAGUACCUGUGGAGCUCUGGUUAUAUUAACUUUAGGCCCAAGCCAGGUCUUGCACCAUGAGAGGGAAUUAUAUGAUACCUGCCACAAAACAUUGGUAGCUAAUUGUUAAAGUCCAAAAUUUGCAUUUUAGUGUGACAUGGAACCCAAGAAAUAUGAUUUCCGCACAUACAGUUUCAUCACCACUUGCAGCUCCAGGGUUUCCAUUGACAGAGUUUCCUGAUCUUGAAACAUUACAAAUUCAGACGUAAGAAACUAACUGAACAUGUAAAAUAAUAAGAAAAUUCCAUUAAGUUACACAAGAAAAUAAUAAAGGGAAAAUAAAAUAGAGUGAGAGAUGGACUUGCAUUCUAUUAGCAUUAUUUCUAGUAAUUCUGCUUGAUUAUGCUCUUUUUUGUGGACCUCUCGUUUGAAAGACAGGCUGGCUGACAUCCCUGACUACUUCCCUGAAUAGAAUCUCGGCUGACCUUACCUUUUAUGGGUCUUAAGCCUCCUGCUUCUUUCUUCCCAUAUGUUCCAGUCCCCAGCAAACAGAAUGGUGGCUGAAUUUUUGACAAGAUUCUGUGUUAUUUCCUAUUUUAAUGUCUGUACUCUGUAUGUAGAGAAGAUGGGACUGAGUUCCCAAUUUUCCAGAGUAAGUGCCCUAAAGUUUAUGCAGUUGCUAGGAGGAUUUUUAUGGUCUAUUAACAAUUGAAAAAGAGUUGUCUGGUUGUUUCCCUCUCCUUAUUGCAAAGGAGGCAGGUUUUUUGGGUGUUGAUUCUCCACCCUUGUAGUUUGGAAAAAGUGUUUAAGAAUACGUUUUUAAUUCUCCAUAAAAUUAUGGAGAAUUUUCAAUUUUGUGAGCAUGUGGUACCAACUACCAAAUGCCAUUGGCUAAUAGAUCCUUCUGUCAGAUUUCCCUAAUACACUGCACAAUACUUCCAAGUUCCAAGUUUGUUGUUUACUAAUAAUAACCUAUAGUUGCUUACACAAUCAAGGCAUUCCUCAAUUUCUGUUUUUUGGUCUAUGAUGUGAUUCUAUAAGGAGGAGUUUACUGUGAAAAGGACCAUUUGAGACCAGGGUACAUCUUUCCUUUAUCUCAAAUUAACUGGUAAGCAAGUUUCCAUACUUUUUUCACAAUAGAAACAGGGAGGGAGAUUCCUUGAUCCCAAUAGAUGUACAUUCCAACAAUUACCCAAUUUACAAAAUACAAAUUGAAUCCUCUCUCCUUAAGAUAGACAUCUACGACUCCAUUUUACUAGAAGAUUCUCGAUAGGAUAAAUAAGUUCCAGCAUUAGUGGUAGGUCUUCUUUUUGCCUGUUAUGGGGAGCAAAGAUACAUUAUGGGUAAAUGUUUAGUCUAAAAACCUAGGAUAUUUUGCAAUUCCAAGUUUCCCUCACAAACUUUGGAGAAGGUUGCAGAGCUCUUGGUCUUGUUUACCUCUAGACCUGAGAAUUGGGAAAACUCUUCAAGGAUAUUGUUAAUGAAUCUUAAGGAUUUCUUGUUUGCCUUGGUAAAGAGGCAAACAUCAUCAGCAUACAUUGUGUGAUGGAGAUUAAGCCAUUGACUUGAUAGGUGUCUGGACUCUGGUGUCAUAUUGCUUUUGACUAACAUUAUUCUUAAUUAAUCUACUCAGAACAUCCAUUACUAGGUAAAAGAGGAUGAGUGAUAGUGAGUCUUAUUGUCCGAUCUCCCCAUUGACUGUUGAAAGGGGGGGUAGGGCUGCACUCUACCAGAACUUUGAAAGAGGCAGAUAUAGAGUUCUCUACUAUAUCUUAUAGUCAAGAGACUACAAAAUCAAUGCGAGAGAUUUCAGAAUUUGAUGGAAAAAAUCACCUUACAAAUUUCUGAUAAUAAACAAUCAGAUCAGCCUACCUUCCAAAGGACAAUUUCAGUUUAUAAUAAGUUUGUAUCUUAUCUGAUGAAGACAAUUUUGUAAAUAAAAAUCUAAAAUGUGAGAUCUUGAGAUAUUUCAAAAUAUAAUUACAAGUGAGAUUCCUAGAGGUUUGUUAAUUUUUUUGAAAAUACAAGAUUCCUAGCUACUGACGUGUUGCAGCUGAAAAUGAAUAUAUGUACGUUAUACAGAGACAUGAAAUUCAUAGAUUUAUAUAGGCCAGAUGAUGCACUUGGAGCCAAGGUUUUUCAUGCGGGACAGAACCUUCAGGCGAUAAUCCUUCGGAACUGCUUAACUAUUUAAAUUAAAAUAAGCUAUAUCAAGUUGUAUUAAAGAAGACAGAAAUCUCAUAUCGCAAUUUCUACAAUGAGACAACCAAAUACACCUCCAACCUUCCAGCAGACAUUGGCCUUCCUCUGGCAAUCUUUCAGCAACCAUGCGACCAGCUCCAGCCAUUUCUUACAGCCAUAAACCAUCUUCCACACCUUCCAUCCCUGUCUAGGUUAAUUUUCAUUAAAAUGUAAAUGAAGGGAAAUGCCCUGUACUAUUUAGUAAGGAAAAAAUAAUAUAUGGGAGAUGACCAAAAGCUCAUGGACCCUUUCCUAUCCAGAUGUAGUACAUAGUGGUUUAGUAACUAAGUUGUUUACCUAAGGAGGUUAGUCUCCUAAAUCUGCAUUGUAGUCUCCUCCAAUUAUGAGCCACAGUUUUUCCUAAAGAUUCCAUAUAUGAAGGAAAGACUAGUAUCUUUUAUGAUCUAGGUUAAUUAAUUAUUAGGUUGUAAUGUUGUAUUGGUUAGCCAUAGGUACAUAUAAGAUUGCAGGGAAAAUUAUUCAAAAAAAAUCGAACUCAUGUGACUAGUUCCAUAACAUGACCGCAUGAACACCUGUAAAAGCUUGCUUGAAAGAAGAAGUGCAUCAACACAAAUCAAAAGAUGCACAAUGUCCUAGUAGCUAGUAGAAAACAGGUUUUUGAGAGGACAGGAAAGAAAUAACCAUUUUAUCCAAGAAACUGAAGAAGGAUAAGAAGAAUAUUCUACGUCUACUUCUUAAAAGAAGUUUGGCUAAAGGUAGAUUGAUUUUUUAUAUUUAUUAUCAAGUACCUAUACUAGAAGUAUAAACAUAUGAUUUUUUAUGUCCACCGCUAUUUCUAGAUAUACUUAAGACUGGACGCCACAGUGUUGUUGAAUCUAUGAAGGGACUCCAAACAAUGAAUAAAACACAGCCUUUGACCUUAAUAAUAGCAUAUCAUUCAAACUAAUGACGUGAAUCGCCACUGUUUAAUUCUCAAAGCAAACUGAAAAUACAUAAAGCUAGAAUAAGAAUGGUUACAAUAUUCCGUACCGUGAAAACAAUGAACCUUCGUAUUCAUAAAUUAUAUCAGAGAUCAUCCAAUUAUCAGGAUAUGGUUUGCCACUUGGAGCAAAAUAGUAUCCAACCUGUUUUGCAUAAAAUCAACAGACCAUUAACAGACAUCAUAAAAAAGAGUAAAAUAGAGUGGAGAAAUAUGUGGCUUCUGAGAAAGAACGGCUCCUUUCUCUGAAAAAUCAAAUAUCAUUUAUGCAUAGAAAAGACAACGAAUCUAUAAUCAUAGACAAUUAUAGUGGAUUUUAUAUACCUCAGUCUUUAAAUCAAUCCCAUAUAUGCAAAAAAUAUUCUUUAUUGGUGGCCUAUCCCAUGGAGUAAGUGGGUUGAGCACAGGAUCACCCUGAUAGUACCUAAAUAAUAAUAAGUAAUGAAAAACCUAUAAGCAAACAAAAUAUAACAACACCAUCCAUUUCUUGCAAACAGCAAGACUUUAGAGUUUAGAUAACUGAAGCUAUAAAAUAAAAGAAGAAUGUAGUAUUAAGAAAAUUAAGCAUUGUUGAUUCCUAUUCACGUUUUUUUUUCUCACUUUAAAUUUUUCCACACCCUCCUCUAAGAUUUUAAGAAUACGUAAUUCACCCAUCAAUUUUAUGAAAAAGAGGCAGUGAGAGAAUCUUUCCUGCCAGACAGAUUUGCUAAGGGCAUUGGGCCCAUUGCCCCAACAAAUUCUCUUUAUCUACAUAGAGAUUUACGUGGGGCAAUAUUCUAACCAACAAGGGUGAUCAAGAUCGUGAGAUGGAUCGGUGAUGGAAUAGAGGAUGCGAUGAAGAGAUUUCUUUUAUUAAAAAAACAAGCAAGAAGUAUCUUCAAAGUGUACAAGAAUGGAAAGUAAAAAAAUGCCAAAUACAAUUAACGUAACGAAGAAGACUGAGAACGGAUGCCGAGAGCGAGCGAUCACAACGGGCGGCCGGAAUCCACCAGCUGAUGAUAUCUGGAUUCCACCAGGAGUAUUAGAGAGAAUCUUGGAAGGGGAAGAUAGUAAAGAAGAAGAUUGGAUAAUAGUAAUACCUGUAACAAGUAAAUUAUCCACCCCAUUUGCUUUGGCCGUCCUUCCUUAAAUAGCUCUCCUUCCCUCAUUCGGUUAGUAACGACUAACUGACUUGACUCUGCUGGAAUCGAUUGGGCCUGACGUUCCAGCCUCUGUCCCUACAUCAAAGGGGUACUUGAGUCGAAGAGAUCCUAGCAGAGAGAUCUCUAUUCUGUACAGAAAUGGGGUGGAAGAUCAGAAUGAUCUAUUUUUCCUUCCCUAAUUGCCGAUGCAUUUGGUCUGCAGUAGUCAGCAAGAGAGUCGCCUAGUCGCCUAGGUCUGCAUUUGGUUUGCCGAUGCAUUUGGAUCUGCCUAACCAUUUAACCAAUAAAUUAUUAUAAAAUCUAAAAAAAUAAUUUUAAAAUCCGAUUUCCCCUUCUCCUUUUUCUUUAUCUUUCAGAAGACGCCACCUAUCUCCAGCCCAAGCUUUUAAAUGCGUGAUUGCGUUGUGUGCCAGGACCUGAUGCACUUAAGCGUGGUGCACUGCCACUUAAGUGCGCCUCAGGUGCCAGGGGUAUUUUGGUAAAUAACUAAAAAAUAUAUAAAUUUCAUAUAUUUAUAUAUGAAUUUCAGAUAUCCAUAGUUUUUAAUAGUAUAGCACUAAUACAAAAUACUUAAAUACUUAAAUUAAAACUUCAAGUGAGAUCACCGGAGGAGGGAGCAUAGAUUGGGGGAGGAUUGGGAAAGAUUUGGGGAGGUUUUGGGGUGUUCCUUGACGUUUUCCAGUUCUGGAAUACACAAGAGCCCUAAAUUAAACCUUUAAAUGAAUCGGAUCCGGUCCAAGACCCGACCUGGAUCCGAUUAAGGACCAAUACUUGGAGGUGCCUUGAAAAGCACCUCCUGGUAGCAUGCACAUUUAGAACCAUGCUCCACCCAUUUCCAAAACUCCUCCAGUGAACCUCCAUUCCUCCGACAAGUCUCCAGCAAGCUCCGGCGAGCUUCAGCAGACUCCAACUACCUUCCAGUAAGUUUAAGAUUAGAUAAUGUGAAUUUUAUUUUAUUUAUAUUCUAAAAAUAUAGGUAUUGAACUAUUGAUGUAUAAAUAUUAAUAAGUGCAUGUAUAAGAUUAAGAUUAUAUAAAUAUUAUUUAGAAAAUUUCCUUUGAUUUAUGCAACACCUAGACGUAGGCCUGUAAAUGGUAUACUGAAAUCCGUAUUUGUAUCCGCUUUCGAAUUCGAAUAUGUCUAUUCGAAUUCGGAUUUCCGGAUUCCGGAUAUGGAUUCGGAUACCAAAAAUGAUAUCAGGAAAUUAUCCGGACGGAUUCGGAUAUCUGCAAUAUCCGUCGUUAAAAUCCGAAUUCCGUUGAUAAUUCUGGAUACGGAUAUCCGAAUAAAUAUAUAAUAAUAAUAUUUAGUAAUAUUAUUAGUAAUUAAUAAUUGUUAUUUAUAAACUAAAUUAACUUUUAUUAUUAUUUAGGAUUUUAGGAUGAUUAAUUGAUUGUUAACUUUAUUGAAGGUGAUUUUAUACUUUUAUACUUUUAUUUUAGGGUUUUCUAUAAAAAUUUAUCCGAAUUCGGAAUUUCCGGAUAUAUCCCGAUAUUAUUCGGACGGAUUCGGAUUAUCCGGAUAUUAUCUAGAUUCGGAUACCAGGGUAUCUGAGCUGAAUCCAUCCGAUGUACAUGCCUACCUAGGUGCCAGACAGUCAUGUGUCAAGCUCAAUCGCAUGAGUAAGGCCCCACCCCAGGCCUACCUAAUCUUCAUAGAGUGGUUUUUAUACAUUCACCUUUAAAAAUUUUUGCAAGAAAAUAUAAUAUAACCAUAAAUUAAUUAUUAACCCAUUAUUAUAAGUAGAUGAUAUUAAAAAUUUAUCUAAUCUAUAUAAUAAGUAAAAAAAUCUCUUGCGGCAAGAUAAUAAAAAUAGCCUGGGGUCCAACUAAAUCUUGCCUCCGCCAUCGCCUGUAAAAUCUUAAUAUUCAGUAUGAUGAGGAAUUGGAUUUCCAGCAGGACUUCACAGUUAGUAUUUGGUAACAGCAUUCCAGGUAGUUGACAGAACUUUCUCAGGAAGAAAUACUUGUUGGACAUUACAUGAAAUAUGUUCAAGGAUUUUCAAUGAGGAAAAGUAAAAGCAGAACAAUCUCGGAUAGAUUCCUUUCUCAUUUUCAAUUCAGUGAAAUUUAAGCAGCUCAUGAACUACAAUGAGGCAUAAUACCAUUGAGUUUAAAUCCCUGGUCAGUAUAGAAUUAAUAAUGACGAUCACAUACGAUGCGGAUGCACAUAUUGCAGCUGUAUGGAUGUGGAUCAACUAGAGACUUAGAGUAGUUUAAGUUCUAGUUUUCUUUUAGAGAUCCUUUGUUCCAUUAUAUUGGGUUAGUCUGUUUGUUUUCAUUUAAUGAAAAAAAUACUAUUUGCAAAAUAAAAAAAUUAAGCUUUAGGUAGAAAUUCCCAGAAAUCAAAACAUAAUUUAUGUGCAGGGUCUACUUACUUUUGAAGCUGAUAUAAGAGGCGUUUACUAUCUGGAUCAUAAUCUUUUAUUGCUUUAAAUAGGGUGCCAUCUGAUACUUCUCUGGCAGAGAAAGAUAAUAGGACAGGCCGUCCACAUUCCAUGUUCGAAGUUAUUCCCGAUAUGUCUUCUAUUGAAGGGUAGGAAUUAACUCCUGGUGUAAAAGUAACAUUCCGUCAGGGAGCAUAUUAGCUUACCACCUUAUUCUGAGACUGAAUAUUAGAGAAACACCUUUAAAAGGAAUUUCAAUGUUAACAAUAUCCGUUGGCCAGCCGGAGUAGUUGGAUGUAAACUCUCUCUCAUCACAUGUGUGUGAGUGGUUAGAAUUUCCUUUUCCUUCGACAAAAUUUUUCCAAAAUACGUCAUCUGCCUUACAGUGUUUGGAGAACGGCAUAAACCAUAAAGUAGAACCAAAAGAAUUAUAUAGUAACCGAGAAGUUCCCUGGUAAAGUAGUAAGUUAUACAAAAAAUUCAAUGUAUUUAAAAAGAAAGAUGGUAAUGAUAUUUUUAUUUCAAUGAUAUUUUUUUUUUAUAAGGGUACUUUGAUUAAUAAAAGAGGUUUCAACAUUAAUACAUCCUAAAAUUAAAAAACAAUCAACUCGUGUUGACACCCACCACCUGUUCAUCCUUGUCAACCAUAACCAUAACCGUAGCAUCCCAAUGGAGCAAUGUCGUCACUUCGUGGUGAUUCCGAUGCAACUUCCGGUAUUUAGUCUCUUUUUAUCCAAUAUUUGUCGUCGAUAGACACUGCCUCGUCAGCAACUCCUUCCCUCUGAACUCGUUCCACUUGAGCCUGUAAUUCCUUUCUUGCCAAUUGCCAUAGUAGCCAAGCCACGAUCCCCAAUAGACACCAGUGAAGGCCCCAGCAUUUUCCUCCAACUGUCAUUGCAUUGAUGCCUGCCGCUACCUGCUUGAAAUCGCACCCAUCCGCAAUUGAAAUGACUCCACUUGUGGAUGGAUUUGAAAUACUCCAUGAGGACCGAAAUCAAGUACCCGCAACUGAAGAACAGAUGGUCGGUCGUGUCCCCUAGUAACCCACACAAUUGACAUUUGUCUACUAACGUCAUACCCCUCUUUGCAAGCUUGUCCAUCGUCGGUAAUUUCCUACACCUAAUUCACCAGAGCGUGAGCGACGCAAUUUGGACCCCAAUUGACCACAGACCCUUCGCCAAAUCGUCCUUAGCCCAUCUUUCAUGGAUUGUGAUGCAGUGAAUGACUCUGUUAUUAAUGCAUUUAUUCAGGAUUACAAAGUUAUCACAAGUGAGCCCGGUACUUCUCAAUUGGGCCAUGAUUGGCUUGACCAAGGUCAAGCCAAUUCACAUUCUCUGUAGAGAAUUGUCUGACUCAUAUCAAUUGGGUUUCCCAUUACCAAUGAUGUGAGUAUAAAUGCAAUGGACACAAAGGGAAGGAUCAUUAUCAAUUUUUGUGUCAUCAACUUAUUUUCUACUAUUGCUACUUUACUCUUUCUUCUACUGUUCUUGCUCUUUUCCUAAAUCUCUACUCUAAAUCUUGGUGGAUUCCAAGUCUUUCUUUCCUGAUCUGAUCAAAAGAAGAUCAUCUAUCUUCUUCUUCUCCAUUAUUCAGUUCUCAUAAGCAUAUCCUAUAUCAUAUUGUCUCACUGAUGUUUCCGAUCGACAACCCAUUGCCCCUUCCUUUCCAAGUGAAAGCUCCUCCCGCCCCUAGCUGAACUCUCCACGCCGAUGAGUCGUUGUAUCUGGGAUAUAUCGAGCCCAGUAACCUCCCUUUCACGUAGCAUUUGUUCAUCCAUCGACUUCAGAUACCAUCAUUCGCCAAUAGCCUGUAAGUUCUCCCAAUUGUGUCUGCGAUUUGAGACCCACGGAAGUCCGUAAUACCCAUCCCGCCUUCCUCUCUUGGCCGGAUCAUAUUUGCCCACAGUACCUCUCUCUACCUUCUCCAAAUAAACUAGUAGGUUGUCGAUUGGACCUCUCGAAUCGCAACCUCCGGCAUGUAAUUACUCUGAGUUAGGAACCCGAACUUAUCGUGGAACACCAGUUAUACUCGUCCCAGAUAGGACAGACAAUGGUCGUUCCAUCGGGCAAGUAUCCCCCUUAAAUCAGCAAUCAAAGUGUCACGGUCUUUCAUCGCUAGCGACUUCUCGAUGAUUGGUGUCCCCAAAUAGGUGAUUGGCAAAUUCUUGACUGGGAAACCCAGUUGGUUCGCAGUUCCGCUCCGUCAUCUACUCGUGACGAGAAGAUCGCGAAGCUCUUGUCUGUGUUUAUCUCCAAGCCUGAGAACGUGGUGAAAUCUUCCAUAAUUUCCUUCAGGGCUCGAAUUGACUUCUUCGAUACUCUACAGCAAAAGACAACGCCAUCUGCAAAAGCCAACAUCGACUCAAUUAUUACACCGUCUGAGGUGAAUAGCUCAAGCUCCCUUCUUCCUACUGCCACCCCUAAACAGGAGAUCGGUCGGUAUUGAUCGAGCGAGAAUGGCAUGUUGUUCUUUGGGAUUAGCGUUAAUAACGCAUGAUUCAUCGCUCGCAACAUCCACCUCGUUCGGAAGAAAUGCAGGAUUGUUGCCACCAAAUCAUUCCAUAUAAUUACCCACUGUUGAAUCAAGAUCUCCACUGUCAACCCAUCCAGUCCCGAGGACUUCCCCUUUGGCAUCGCAAAGAGGGUAUUCUUGAUCUCCGAUGAUGUCAAGUAGACUCUAAGCCUGGUGUUCGUCUCCACAUUGAGCGAGGCUUCAAACACUAUGUUUAGAUUUGGAAUUGGGGAGUUUCGACUUGGGAAGUCAAAUAAUAUUUUAAAGUAUUCUUCAUUUCCACCAACGACGCCGUCUGGUUCCCAUUCACAUCAAUUAGCCGCAUUAUUGAAUCUUUGGUCUGUCGUGCUUUCGUAUUCCUUACUAAGAACGCAGAUCUUUGGUCACCUUCCGUCAGCCAAAUGACUCUCGGCCUCUGCAUCGAGUCCAUAAGCUCACGUGCUUGUGUUUCCCCUAACUCCAAUUUAAGUGAGUUACAUCGGUUUUGCAAGUCAGUGUUGUUGGGUUCAUUUUGCAGCCUCGUCAUCUUCUCAUGCAGUUCGGCCGCAAUUCUCCUAGACUUCAUAUUACUAUUCUCAUUCUCUCUUGCCCACUCCUUUACAAUAUCCUUGACCCUUGACCAUCUUCAUCUUCCGAUGCAGCCUGAAGAGAGGUCUUCCCUUCACUGCCGCUACCCACGAGUCCGCAAACACAUCAUUGAAGGCAUGAUCUCGUGUCCAGCUAUUGUAAAAUUUAAAGGGCUUGCUUCCGUGCUCUGCCACAAUUAGUUCCAAAUACAUAGCGGUGUGGUCGCUUGUAUUUCCAAAUAACAACGUUGGUUGGACCUGCGACCACUUGUUUAUCCAAGACGGACUCGCCAAUAUUCUAUCUAGUCUCGUGUGCGUGGAUGUAGGACCAGAGCCAUUCAACCACGUAAACACUCCCCCGAUCGCAUCGAGUUCUAUUAGCCCUUGUACCACUUGAUCGAACUCGUCCACACACUCUAUCUUGAAGGUGCCUCGACCUUCUCGUUCCGACGACAAUCGGAUUUCAUUGAAGUCGUCACCAACGAUCUAGUCUCUCAUUCCAGACCCAAUCGAGAUAUUCCGCAAACCCUCCUACAACGGUCCACGCCUGACCACAAUUGCUUCCCUGUAUACUACUGUGAUGUCGAAGAAAUAUCCCCCAGCACGUGCAAGCCGCUCAUGAAUGUAAUAGCUGUGACAUUCCUCAAUGGAAGUCGAUCGCACCCCCUUCCUCCAUCUAAACCAGAUAGAGUCCCGCCCUUCAUCAUUUGUGUUUCGCACCACUUCCCACUCAUCCCUCACUGCAACUUUCACUGCACUGAAUUUUGCUCCCGGCUUUUGGUGAGAGAAGAAUCUCCUAGUGUUCCAAAGUAGUAAAGACAUUACUUAGAGGCAGUAAUGUUAUUGGCACGCUGACCUUGGGAUCUCUUGAUCAGAUCUAUCUCUCGGUGACCGGCUUCUUCGCAAAACACUAAAGGAGUUGACUGAUCUUAUUGGCGUCAUAGUAAUUCUCCUUUCUAUCUGUCGCAUUUGGGAUUGUACUUCUUGUUGCAUGACUUGCAUCGCUCUCGCCUCCGGCCACGUUUCCAGGUCCCUCAUUAAGUAUUCCCGAAAUUUAUGUUGUGAGACUUCCGCGAGGUAUGAAUUGGUCCCGUCCGCCCUAUUCGUGACAUUAUUCAAAUUAACGAUUGGCCGAAAUCGACUGUUUAGGAUUUGGACCCGACUAUGUCGGUCCUGUUUUGAGAUUGCAUGACCCUCGAUCUAGACAAGCUCCUAGUUUUGGGCUUCCUGGGCAUGUGGGUUAUUGUCAUCCCACCCUUGGUCCUCAAUAUCUGGUACACAUUCUUCAUCCAGACGGUCAUCCCCCUGUCGAUUGUGACCCAUCUCCGUACUCUCUACAUUUCUAUCCCUUCUUCUAUUCCUUUUUUUCUCCCUACGCCUCUGAUUUUGUCGCACCCUAGCCCUGUCACUCUUCUAUUCCUUAUUUCAAGGAUAUAAAGAAAAAAUCCUUGAUCCUCCUAGAAAAGUGGCUAUAUGUUGUACUUGGGUAUAGUUAGUAAAUAACAUUGGACAAGAUACUAACCCCAACCGAUUCUACAAGUCAAUAACAAUGAGUCUAAAGGUUUAAACUACAUAGACGACUAUUUAACCAUUUUAGAUUUGUAUUGAACUUGAACGCGAACUAUGUUAUGUCACCCAAUUAUUUUUCCCUUGCAUCGCUGACUAAUUUUCAGCUUUGGUAAGAGUCAAAUGAAUGAUUUUCCAUGUGCUUUAAAAGAACUAACCAAGUUGUUUCUUUUAAACAAAGUCCUAGACACUUAAAGACUACAAAUGUUACAUAUUGAAGAAAAAGUCUAAAAAGGAAGUACCUCAGCUAUCGGAAGACCAAAAAGUACUCCAGAAAAUGUUGCUUUGACAGCUUCAGUAGCACCAAGAAGAGGAGACCCUAAUAUCAGACAUGAACAGUUAGGAAAACGUUGUAACAUAGAUUGAUGGGAGUGGGACGAUAAAAGAAACACAAUCAUACCAACUGCAAAGUAAGCAUAUAUGUGGUUAUCGAGCCACUGCACAUAAUGUUUUGGUGCGAUCUCCAACUUCAACCAUUCCAAAAAGUAACGAAACACAUUGUUCCCCAAUGAAUGAGCGAAAACUAAAGACGGACUGCCUCGAAGUUUAAGUGUUGUUUCAAAAAUCAGCCUGCAGUAAUGUAAACAAAUCAAUUGGAAGUAAUAUUGGAAAAGCAGUAACAAACAAAUACAGAAAGAUAUAUAGUCUAUGGCUCUAUGCAUCAAAACAAUCUUUUCCUAGAUUUCUUUUAAGUUUUAACACAAGGUAAACUUCUCCUCCACCAAAUCUGACAACUAGAAAAUGGGAAAGAUGAAAUUUUUGAACGAUGCAGCACAGUCCAUCUAGUUUUUUUAAUAUUACUAACCGAGUCGACCCUCCAAAUCUACCAGGGGAAAAAAUGUUGGGGGCUGCAGUAGCUCACUGCUGAUACUGCAAUUUGGUACUAAUUGAAGAAGUGAUGUGACACGUCCGGAGAGCGUGUCGGCCGACGUUGAUCGGAGAACGUUGACGGAGAGAUUAACAGAGGAGGAAAUAGAUAAAAACAAUAACUUUUGUGAUUCAUUUCAUAGUUCUCAUGGAUUUUAUAGGAUCGAUCCCCAGUAUAAAUCGUGGGAUCGAUCGAUACAUUCCUCCCACGUAUGGGAAGAUAACUGACUUGUAACGUAACCCAUUGCUCUUGAUAAUAUCUCCGGCUAUCGGAGGUUUGAUUCCAGUAACUGCCGACACUCUCUUCCGUGAUAACUCAGGGUCUGGAGUGCAAUUAAAACGUAGCUAAUUAGUUGCUCGACGAUCGCCGACGUAGUCCACUUGGUAUACGCCGUGAUCCGGUGGAACCCGACGUUGUCUUUUGGGUAGGGGUCGGGGUAUGCUGUUAGGCGUAUCAAUCCCCGCAUCCUCAGAUACGAGAUUGCCCUCAAGCUCGACCAAAUCUUCAGGCAACAUCGCGACCUCCACCGAAUCCCCAGGAACAAAUUUCUUCAGUAGCAAUGAGUGAAAGACAUUGUAAAUCUUUGCACCCACCGACAAUUGCAGACGCACAACCACUUCGCCGAUCUUCUCCGUGAUUGGGUAUGGCCCAAAAAAAUUUCGUUCCAGCUUGUUAGAUUUCCUUGCAACGACUGAAUUCUGCCUAUACUUGUUUAGCUUAACUAAUACCUCAUCUCCGACUUCGAAUUGCACGUCUGAUCGUCGACGGUCCGCCUUCUUCUUCAUUCCUUCAACGGCUCUGCUCAGGUUUUGUUUGACGAGUAACAUAGUCUCCUCCCUAUUCUUUAUUACAUCGUGCGCUUCCUUGUCUUCUAGUGGAUUUUCCUCACAAUGGAAUAAUGCCGGCGGCGACCUACCAUAAACCAGCUCAAAGGGUGUCAUUCCAGUCGAAGAGUACUUGCUCGUGUUAUACCAGAGUUCAGCGAGAUGGAUGAAUUUCACCCAAUCUUUCGGCUUGUCCAUAGCAAAGCACCUCAGAAACUAUUGCAAGCACCGGUUCACCACCUCCGACUGCCCAUCGGUCUGUAGGUGGUAUGCCGAGCUGUGUAACAACUUCGUUCCAUGCUGUCGGAAUAACGAUUUCCAGAAAUUGCUCAGAAAAAUAGGAUCUCGGUCAGAUAACAAGGACUUGGGAAAUCCGUGUAGUCGAAUGACUUCCUUGGAGAACAGUUCGGCCACUGAGAUGCCGUGAAGGGCAUUGUCAUUGGGAUGAAGUGGCUAGCCUUGCUCAAUCUAUCGACGACUACUAGGAUUGUGGAUUUUCCUGAAGACAGCGGCAAGUGGGUAAUGAAGUCCAUCGUCAGCUCUUCCCAGACGUCCGACGGCAUUGGCAUAGGCUGUAGGAGUCCGACCGGUUUCGAAUUAGUAGGCUUGACGGCUUGGCACACUCCGCAUUCUCCGAUCCACUGUCUGACUUCCUCCCCCAUGCCCUUCCAGUAAAAAUUUCGUGAAAGUCUUGACAAUGUUGCCUUCUGUCCGGAGUGUCCCCCAACUGGAGUGGUGUGAGUUUCUGAGAAUAUUAGUUUCCGAAUGUCUUGGUUGUUGGGUACGACAAUUGCGUCCUUGUACAGGAUUAAAUCCUUCCGGAUUGAGAAACUUGGGUUGUGGUUGUCAUCUGUCAGCACGGAAGAUCUUAGUUUCCGGUAUUCAUUAUCGACGUCCCCUGUCUCCCUGAUUUUGCAUAGAAUUGAUGACACAGGGAACGAGACGACGUUCAACUCUGGUGGAGUCUCCAUUGCUUCCUCGCCGCGCCUUGACAGUGCAUCCGCUACAACGUUACUCUUUCCCAAGGUUCCGGGUGCGCGCGCGCAUAUGCGAUGAUGCGCCCCCAAAGGGAGAUGCGCCAAAUCUGGCGCAUCUCCCUUAGCCGGAUCCGGGUCGGAUCCGAGUAAAAUCCGACCCGGAUCCAGGCCUAUUUUAAGUUAUUUUGUUUUUAUUUUAAAAAAAAGGCCAAUUUUUUUUUUUAUUUUAAGACCUUACAUUGGUCCAUGAAAAGAGCUAUAUUAUUUUUAAUAUAAGCUCCUCCCACUCUUUAGACUUCAUAUUUGUUUUAGAGAAAAUGAAUCUUUAUUUAUAGACCAACCUUCUUUGUGUUUUUUGAAUUCUAUCGAUGUGGAACUAAAAAAGUGUGGUUAAAUAAAUUAUUAUUAUAGAGUAUUUUUUAUGUUGUAGAUGUAUUAAAGAAGGCCCAGCCCAGCCCAUUACGUUAUUAUUUUUUAAAAGCCUCUUGGGUUAUUUAUUAUUUUCUUUUUAUAAAAGCCUCUCUUUUAUAAGUUUAAAGAAACCUUAGCCAUUUAUAGAGCUAUAUUAUUACGAAAAUACCCCUAAAUGGUUAACCGGUUUUUAAACCUUGGUGUUACAAUGUGGUGAUACGGUAUCCCGAACCCGGUCACAACUUACCAGCAAUUAGAAGUCCGGAUAGCCUAAGAUGAGUUAAGGUACCUAUUCUAGGGUUGGGGAGGUCCCAAGUUGAAUCCUAGGAAGAUCGACUUUCCUGAGGAUCGGCUUCCCUGGGAUCGACUUCUGAAUAAAGUCGAUCCCCAGAAAGUCGAUCUCUGGAAAGUCGAUCUUGAGCCUCGAUCUGAUCAGUUAGGCGGUUACUGCCCAAAUGACCAGAUUACCCCUAUAAAUAGAAGGCAUCCCCCACUCAUUAAAGGCAGGUCAUUUGGAGCGAAAGGAAUCCUAGUGAAGCAGAGCUCUGCGCACUUGAGUUCCGGUCCGGUUUCCUGCGGAGUUCCCCGCUUGGCGCUUGCUUGCGCGUCUUGGAGUACUGGUUGGGUUUCACCCCCAUCACAAUGAAUUAUAGGGUGUUAUAAUAAUUAAUAAAUAUAUGUAUUAUAAUAAUUUUUCUAUCCAAUAUAUUUUUAACUAAAAAAUUUAAUUAAUAUAAUUUAGAUAUAUAAAAAAAUAUUAAUUUCCUAUAGUUUUAUAAAUAUUUACGAAAAUGCCACUGGCGCAUCUGAGCGCAUAUGCUCAGAUGCUCCAGGUGGCGGCGCAUCGCGCAGAGGCGCAUCCGGAACCUUGCUCUUCCCUGGACGAUAGAUGAUGUCGAAGUCGUAGACCAAGAGAUUCUUCAAAUAUUUUUGUUGCUCGGGAGUUUGCACUCUUUGGGUUACUAUAUUAAACUCUGAUGGUCGGUGAUGAUUGUAAACGGACGACACACCAGAUAGUGUCUCCAUUUCUUGACGGCCUCGACGAUGGCUGACAUCUCCUUUACGUGGGCGGAUCCGUGUCACAGGUUCGGCGGAUAUUGCUUGCUAAAAAAUGACAAUGGGUGUCCGCGUUGUGUCAACACAGCUCCCAUCGCAAACCCAGAAGCGUCUGUCUCCACGUUGAAGUGCUCUUCGAAGUUCGGUAGUCUUAGGACCGGAGUGGUGUUGAGCGACUGUUUGAGGGCGAUGAAGGACGCAGCGGCUACUGGAGUCCACACGAAUUUAUUCUUGCAGAGUAGGUCGGACAGUGGGGUGGCUAUCGACGCGUAUCUUCGGACGAAUCUUCGAUAGUAUCCGGCGAGUCCCAAGAAUCCUCUCAGUUGUCUAACGGACGUUGGGGCUGGCCUAUUUGAAAUCACUUCUAUCUUGGAUGGGUCGACAGCGACUCCAUCUGAUGAAAUUCGAUGGCCCAGGUACGAGAUUGAGUUGAGCGCGAACUCACACUUGGAUUGGUUGGCCACUAGUGCGUUCUCCGUUAGGGUGGCGAGUGCGAGACAGAGAUGGCUGAGGUGUGACACCCAAUCCUUACUGUAAAUAAGGAUGUCGUCAAAAAACACCAUCACUGACUUUCUUUACUGACUUUUGAAUACGAUGUUCAUCGUCGAUUGAAACGUUGAGGGCGCGUUACAGAGUCCAAACGGCAUCACGAGAAAUUCGUAGUGUCCCUCUGGUGUGCGGAACGCCGUUUUCUCGAUUGAAGAUGGAGAUACUCGUAUCUGGUGAAACCCGGCCUUCAAGUUGAUUUUGGAAAAGAACUUCACAUCGUGAAGCUCGUCGAAGAUCUCAUCGACGGUUGGAAUUGGGUAGGCGUCCUUGACGGUGAUGUUGUUAAGGGCACGGUAGUCCACGCAGAACCUCCAGGUUCGAUCGCUUUUGCGCACGUGGAUGACCGGCGACGAGUACGGAGAUCGGUUGGGUUGGAUGAUCCCGUCGGCUAUCAUGUUGUCUACGAGACGCGAAAUCUCGGCCUUCUGAAAGUAUGGAUACCUGUAGGGUCGCACCUUGACUGGUCCGGCACCGGGGUGGAUGUUUAUUUCGUGGUCAGAGUCCCUUUGCGGUGGCAGCCCGUGAGGAGCGGCGAACGCGUCGGCGAAGUAAUCCAAUAUUACUUGUACCGCUGGCAUGUCAUGCUGAAUGUCUUGAUGACUUGAUAGCUGUAAAUCCGGCAGGUGAUUCACCUUAAUAAAAAAUAAUUGAUCACCACUCGAGGUGUCCACUUCCUUCGACAUCCUUGAGGCAGGCACCUUGCGCGCGGUCGACGGCAGAUCAACUAUGGUCUCGGUUCCAUCCCCGAACGUCAGAGACCUCUUCUCGUAGUCGAACGUUACUCGUUUCAAUUGCUCUAGCCAUGCUACCCCCAGGAUUGCGUCGGAGCCGUGGAAUGGGACUACGUGGAAAUCGACUGCAAAUGUGGAAGAACCCAAUGUCAUCGGAAUGGCUCGGCAGACCCCCCCCGGCAUUCCAUAGUGUGCCCGCCUCCCACCAAAACUUCGAACCUCGCUGUUGUGUCGAUUGAUAGUUCCAAUCUUCGAGCCCAUCGUCUGUGGAUGAAGUUUAAAUUUGCCCCAGAGUCCACUAGUAUCUGUAAUGUCUCCCCAUUGAUGACUCCUUCCACAUGGAUAGUGCGUGGUGUCGGAACUCCCACCAAGGCGUGUAUCGAGAUCCCUGGGUCUUCCUCAUCUUCCACUAACUCUUGUCUGUUUGAGUCUGAGUCAAGCUCUGCUCCAUCUUCCAUCUGUUCGACCUCAGUCGCCUCCAAGCAGAGAACUCUCCCCGGAAUCUUGCACGUGUGGCCCCUAUGGAACCGUUCUUCACAAUUAAAGCACAAACCUGCAUCCCGACGCCUCUGUUGUUCUUCCAUGGUGAGUUGUUUGGCUCCCGGAGGUAGUGCACGUCGAGUAGUAGAGGACUCGCCCUUCUGUAACGUUCUGUAGUGGGGUCUGGGCGCGAUUUUCUGCUCUUGCAUUAGAGCUCUGUUUUUAGCUUCCAAAGCUGAUGAAGCACGACAGUAGGCUCGCGGGGUUACGAGGAGGGUCGGAGGCUUUGGAGUCCACGACGCGCGCUCUACGUCAAUGUACCUGCAGAAGUGGAGGGGAAUCGGCGACUCUCUUGGGAGUAGGCGAUUCGGGUUCCUUGGAUUGCUCUGGUGUGGUGUGUGUCAAGUGGGAAUGACCUGGGAGUAGAGGACCCCUUUUAUAGGGUCCUGGGGGACGUUUCCCCAUUCAUUAGCGUGUGGCCCACCCCAUUAAGGUACCCUGUUGAAGGGUGCCUUAAUGACGUGGGCCCACUCAAGUAACGGCUGAGAGUCGGCGACUCAGGUAUGGGAGUCGCCGAGUGAGAGGUGUUGUCGCCGACUCCCCAUGAGCCAAGUUGGCAGUCUACCAGAACUGACCACGAGGCCUAGAGUCGGCGAUUCACCCCUGGAGUCGGCGACUUGGUAGUCCCAGUCGGCGAUUCCCAGGUGUUGCCUUGAGUACUUGACGUAGACACUUCCUCCGCAUUUGUGGAACUCUCCGGGGGUCCGGCAUAAAGCGACGGAACCCUAAUCCUUGUUGAAGGGCGUUGCUGGGAGUGACUGACGUAAUCAGGCAUGUCUCACCAGUCGCCUCCAAGCAGAGAACUCUCCCCGGAGUCUUGCACGUGUGGCCCCUAUGGAACCGUUCUUCACAAUUAAAGCACAAACCUGCAUCCCGACGCCUCUGUUGUUCUUCCAUGGUAAGUUGUUUGGCUCCCGGAGGUAGUGCACGUCGAGUAGUAGAGGACUCGCCCUUCUGGAACGUUCUGUAGUGGGGUCUGGGCGCGAUUUUCUGCUCUUGCAUUAGAGCUCUGUUUUUAGCUUCCAGCAUGGUGGUUGAGUAGAACUGUUCGAUUUCCUGUCGAAUUUCCAUCUUUAAGCCAGAGAUGAACGUCUCGACCUUGAAUUGGAAGCUGAAGCCUUGAACUCGGUUUGCCAAUUCCUCAAACUCCUUAAUGUAUGCUUCCACGGAUGUCUUCUGACGUACCUGCACGAACGAGCUGAGGUGGUUCGUGCAGGCUGCCCUGGGGUUGAAGCGCGAGAUAACUAGUGCGCAUAGCUCCGACCAUGAGUGAAUGGGCGACUUUGCUCAUUGGUAAUGGAGCCAUUUCGAAGCAUCUCCCCCCUCAACAUUAAACGCGGCUGCGCCUACCUUUUGGUGCUCUGGAGUUGCGUGGAACAAGAAGAAUUCCUCGCACCGGUGUAUCCAACAGUGCGGGUCUUCUCCGUUAAACCUUGGGAAGUCAAAUUUCCAUUUCAUAGGAAAUGGAGGUUGUGACUGAUAUUCCGACGAUGCGUUAGGCGGAACCAUGUUCAUUGGUGGAUAUAAUGGGUUCGCCGGCGUGAACGGUGGUGGUGGUGGAAGAUGUAUACUUGGAUACGGGAGGACGGAUCUUUGCGGGAGUCCUAACGUCGUCGUGCUGAAGCCGGCUGCGAUUGUUGGUGGUUGGUGAAAUUGGAGUGACGACGGCGCGGCAGUUGGUUGAUUAGUUAUUGCGAAUUGAAUGUGUUUUAGCGUCUGGAACGGUAUCUGUUCCCGGAGGUUUCGGCCUUGGUCCCCAUUUAUCUCUAGACGGUCGAGAAUCGACGCGAAUCUAUUCUCUAGGCGUAAUAUGGAGUCGUCGGAGGGAAUGGUAGCCGCGUCCAGGCGGUUACGCAGGUUCUCGAUGACUACCGAUCGAUCCGGCGGACUGGAUUGUUGGUGUCCUGUGGAGGACGGCGGAGUUGUGGAGCUCAUUGGAAGCACCAAAUGACACGUCCGGAAAGCGUGUCGGGCGACGUUGACCGGAGAACGUCGACGAAGAGAUUCAGAGGAGGAAAUAGAUAAAAACGAUAACUUUUUGUAAUUCAUUUCGUAGUUCUUAUGGAUUUUAUAGGAUCGAUCCCCAGUAUAAAUCGUGGGAUCGAUCGAUACAUUCCUCCCACGUAUGGGAAGGUAACUGACUUGUAAUGUAACCCGUUACUCUCGAUAAUAUCUCCGGCUAUCGGAGGUUUGAUUCCAGUAACUACCAACACUCUCUUUUGUGAUAACUCAGGGUCUGGAGUGCAAUUAAACAUAGCUAAUUAGUUGCUCGACGAUCGCCGACGUAGUCCACCUGGUAUACGUCAUGAGCCGGUGGAACACGACGCUGUCGCUUGGGUAGGGGUCGGGGUAUGUUGCUGGGCGUAUCAAAGCCCCUAAGAUUUCUAUGGAAGGAUCUUUAAAACAGAAAAGAAAAAAAAAGUUAUCUCCUAGGGGGGGGAUUCUUUCACUUAUCUUUUAUUUGCAUAUCUAUUCUUAAGGAAGAUAGGAGUAGUCCGUUGAAUCGAAAUGAUAUUGUAAAGCAAAACGCAAGCAAACUAAAUAUGCAUACUUAAGUUUGUGAAAGUAAAGGUCUCGUUCCUCGAGAACGGAAGGAGAUAGCCUCCAAUCAUAAGGUGCAGCCACAAUCGCAUUUGCCUCAAUACCAAAUUCAAUGCACCAUCUGACCCAAUCUUUCCAAACAGACGAAAGAGGACCUGAGCAUAUACAGUGAAAUAAAAACAAACUGUCAGAGAAGAAAUUAGAAUAAAACAUAAAUGUUUCAUCGAAGUACCUGUGAUGUAUCCCGGAUCCAACUCUGUUAUCGCGGAAAGACCACUGUCGGGGCGUGAUUUACACUCAGGAUGAUCCGUCUGAUUGUAAGGAUCAAGCAUCAUGCACUUGAGCCAGCAAUUCACAGCCGAAAGAACCUACACACCCUAAAUUGGAUAGAACAUAAAGGGGAAAAAACCAGAAAAAUUAGGGGACAACAACAACCUUGGUAGUAUCAAGCCAGACGGAAUCGAGCGGGUUGAAGUCGAGAGGGGAGUAAGGGCAGUCGAGUACAGACCACGCCCUAAGCUGCGUGGAAGCAAACCCAGGAAUGAUUAUCCCAGAAAGCUUGGACGAGACCUGGUUCUUUUCAGUUUUCCCCAGAACCUCCGUGUGAUGGUGGUUGAUCAACAACAAUGCGACGACGAAGAAGAUGAACUGAGGUGCCGAACGCCGGCCCGCAGCCAUGAGAUUUGAUUGGAGGGAAGAUUAGUGGAUAUGAAAUUAUUAGCUAUUAAUUUACUUCUAUCUUCUACAUCUAGGAUUCCAGUGGUUCAAAAUUGAGAAGACUAUCUCGGCCGUUCAAAAUUGUCUGGAAGAAUCUGGAUUGUUGUUGCUCCAUCUGUUACGAGCAGUUGGAGUUGUGCACGGACCAACGUGCGUUUUUUUUAAAAUUGAUUUUUAUUUUAUUUUAUUUUUACGCAUAAAAUCUGUCUCAUCAUUUAUUUUUGUUUUUUUCGGUCAAGUAUCAUUUAGGUGAAUAACAAAAACAUGAUUCCUAAAAAUAAAACACGUUCAUAAUAGUCGACAAUAUAGAUAAUGAAGUCAUGAAGACAUAGGAGUUACUGCAAGCUUUGAUACCAACAUAUUGAUACCACGAAACAAGUCAAAAUAUCAUUAUGAUGUUAAAUUAUCUCAACUUCUAAAAAAAUAAUUUAACUUUUCAAGAUUUUUGAUCGCAAACUGCUUCAAAAUUGCAAAAAUAAAACAUUUGAUGUUGACGACCAAGUUCUUUGAUCCUUUGAAGCCAAUUGACAACAUUUUUUAAAUAUAUUUUUCAUACCACAUGAUUGUUUUAGGCCAUAGAUUGAGCGAUGAAAGAGACAUACAUGAUUUGAAGAGUUCACAUCAACGAACUUGGGUGAUUGUUUUUUUGAGGUUUCCGUGCAACAACCCAUUGGUGAUAUCAAGUUGUCGAAGAACCUAAUUAUUAGAAAUGACAAUUGCAAGAAUGAUACAAACUGUGGCGAACUUCAAAGUCAACUCAGACGAUCCGAUUGAACCUUCUAACAACAAGACGACUGAAAAAAUCGUCUGAAUUUUUCUUCACUCGGACAACCCAUCGACAAGUCACAGACUCACAAUGUUAGCUUCGGAUAGUGGCACUGAUUUGCAUAAAAAACUACGGUCAAUGUUAUGGUGGUUUUAGUUCUUGUCAUAUCCAUUGUUUGUUUGAUAAUGUAGGGAAUUUAUAUCAUUCGGUUUUAAACUUUUUAUGUGUCGAAAAUACGAUUCACAAAAAGGUCAAUAAAACAAAAUAAUAAAACUAUUGAAAAAUCUAAUAUGAAACAAUAAACUUUUCAAAUCAGAUUAUAUAAUACCAUUAAAAGGUCUAAUAUCAACUUCAUUUUAAUAUUUUAUUAAAUGAAACUAAGCCAUCAUAAAAAAAUAAUCAAGUAUUAACGAAAAUUAACCUUUAUUACAUUCUUCCUGUUAUUUAAAAAAAAAAAAUCGACAGACACUAAGGCACUGAGCGUCAAUAAAACAAAAAAGAAAUAAUAGAGGUCGUUAACAAAAAGAGCAAGCACUCGUUUUUGCAUAUUUUAAAUCUAGGUAAGAAAAAAGUACUCUGUAGCCUUCUCACCGUUUGUUUUAUCUGUCUAAAACAGAUGACUCUUCUGAUACUGGUGGAAAUUCAAUGGCCAGAAGAUUUUCAAUCCUCAUUUUCAUCGCUGGUUCAUUCAUAGCAGCAGAUAUUCCAUCUCCAAUCUCUUUAUAUAGUGCUCUAGCUGUUUCUAAAUUUGCAGUAUUGUUCCUCACCAUAUCCUUCAGCAACUCUAUCUUUCCUCUCAUAUUGCUGGAAAGUACUGCCUGUUGAACUUCCAUGUUAGCUACCCCAUCAAUGACUCCAAUCGCUCCCUCUAAGUUUGGUGGACAUGUGGGAAUAUUAUUCUUUCCGAACCCAACAAACGUAACAAAAUCCAGUGAUUUGAUCAUCUCUGCAAGAUCUUUCUUUGCCGUUUCUACCUUCUCCAUCUUAGAAUCAUCAAGUUGUUCUCCUUCAGCGACUCUCUCACGUGCUUCUUUCAAGAUUUCAAACUUCUCAUUGAGCACCGGUCCCUUUAAUUUCUCGUUAAUCUCUUUCUCCAGUUGCUCACUCUUCUCCGUCUUUACUUUUAGAUCGUAGACCUCGUUAGAUAUCUUUACUUUCUUCAUAAAUCUAUUGUAAUCAGAGCUAUUGGACUGAGAGAGAUUUUGAUUAAAUUCUCGGGCAAGACUAUCAACCUUCUCUUUCAAGCCAGGACUGAUGUCUCCCGUAUCAGAUUUAGAUAACUCUAACUCGAGUGCCUCCAUCUUCUCCUGCAGACCCAUGGCGACAAAGGCAUCAUUCAUUUCCUUGUCUAAUUCUUUUAGCAUCUUUUUCAUUGCUUUAUCUGACAUGGUAAAGCCAGACCAAUCAUUUUCUGUCUCUAAUGCUGUCUUAAAGUUUUCAAGCUCAUUUUCGAUUUCUUCUGUAACAUCAUUGUCUGUAGCAUCAUCGUCUGUAGCAUCAUCGUCUGCAGCAUCGUCGUCUGUAGCAUCGUCGUCUGUAACAUCGUCGUCUGUAGCAUCGUCGUCUGUAGCAUCGUCGUCUGCAGCAUCGUCGUCAUCGUCGUCUGCAGCAUCGUCGCCAUCGUCGUCUGCAGCAUCGUCGUCUGUGACAUCAUCGUCUGUAACAUCAUCAUCUGUAGCAUCGUCUUCAGCAGCAUCCGUAGCAUCAUCUGCAGCAGCAUCUGCAGCAUCAUCUGCAGCAGCAUCUGUAGCAUAAUCCGAAACACCAAAUUCUUUCUUUUUCAUGUUGCGUUUAAAUUCUGGUUCCACAAACUCGUCUUCGGUAAAACCACCAAUAUUUCGAUAUUUAUCAUGGCGGUGCUUUAGUAAGGUUUCCGUGUCCAUUGCAGUCAAUUCCUGAAUACAGUUUUAAGAGUUGAUACUUAAUACGGUUGUAAAAUUCAAACAUGAAUAAAUAAAUAAAAUACUGAGACAAACCAACAAGCAUUUAAAUUUUAAACAAAUAUAAAAAUUUCAACAAAUAUAAUCUAAAUAAUUCAUGAAGAAGCUUAAAUGAAGAAAAAAGAUAAUUCAUGGAAUCUAAACUAAUUAAUAAACAAGUAAAUGAAGUUUAGAGCUAGCAGCCUAUUAUGAAUCCAUGAUCAUUUUAUCUAAUUUUUUUCUUUCGAUACAGCUCAAUUAGAAUGCAACUAAAUAAUUAUUUUAAAUAAGCUGAAUAUGAAUUAAAUCAUCAAAGAUAAGACUACAUGCCUAAGUUGGAUUGUUAGUAACAUAAUCUUGGUUGGCAAUGAAAAUAUGAUAAACAAACAAAAAAAUACACAAAAAAUCACCUCCAUGGCAUCUUUGAUGGCAAUUUUUAGGUACUUGGACGACAAGGAUGGAUCAGUAUGUGCCCCACCAAGAGGUUCCUGUUCAUUGAUUCCAUUGAUGGCAAUUGAUUCCAAAAAAAUCAAGAUUUAAAUUAAAGUAAAAAUGUGUAAGAUUUACAGUAAUUACGAAAAUGCUACUCAAAAAAUGGGUAACCAGAUAACCAAUUUUUAAACCUUCUUCUCAAAAUAGCAAACACGAUCACUAAAAUUUCAUAAAUUCUUACGAACAAACUGGUCAAAAGGUGAAGAAAACAGGAACUUACUGGGAUGAUGCCAUCACAAAUCUUUUGUUCACAAUGGUCUUCUGCAGUGAUCUUCAAUUUUUCAGCAGCCUGAAAGACAACAUAUGUUUUAAAAAGGAAUAAGGGAUCUCCGAAUUACACAGAUGAUGUUAUAGCACAAAGGUAAAAAUACCAAUGGAGCAUUUUCUUUUGUUUUCCACAAAAUCACAGAACAUGCUUCUGGACUGCUCAAAACAAUGAAACAAAGAAAAUUUCAGGACUAGAAAAAAAAAUAUAAACAAAUAACCUCCAGAACAAUAGAAAAGUAUAAUUUAUGAAAUUGUAUUAUCAAUUGCUGAAGAAAUUAUUUUCAUUUUAUUAAAAGCUAUAAGUUUAAUAAUAAAUCAUUUAACAAUAAUAGCAGAAUAUCUUUUGGUAAUUUUGAAAAGUCUUCAAAUUUUAUAAAAUAACCAUCAGGCUAAUUAUAAAAAAGAUUUAAUAUUUAAACAACGACUUAAUGGUGUAGAUAACAGAAAAAAUGGAAAAACUGAAGAAAGGUACCUAGCAACAUAAAAGACAGCAUUUUCCAUCAUUAACAUUUUAUUGCCACAACCAAUAGCAAGAGCCCCACCAGAUCCACCUUCACCGAGCACAACAGUGAGAAUUGGGACUUUUAUGCCAAACAUUGCCCUCAGAUUAAAAGCUAUGGCCUCACCCUAAACAGAGGGAGAGAUAUACAUAGGUGAUAAGUGCAGACACUGCAAUGUUUAGAAGACAAACUUAGAUGAGCAUGUGAAGUGUGAACCCACUUGACCAAGUUGUUCACAUUUGAGAUCAGGAUAUGCCCCAGGUGUGUCAAUCAAUGUGAUGAUAGGAAGACCAUGGUGCUCAGCAUAUUUCAUCAUACGUAAUGCUUUUCGAUAACUGCAUGAACGUAAAGUACUUAAAAAAUAUCCAUUAAGAAUAGCAAAAAGAAAAAUAGAAAAUUGACAGCAAUAGAUUAUCUUCCAAUGUUUCCUUUCACUGUUAGUGAUUUAGUAUUAUUACUUUUUAACUUUUAUGUACCUCUACAAGUUCAAACUAUUUUAUAGGUUCCCCAAUACAACGAUAAUUAUCUAUCUUACUAUACUAUUUUAUAGCUGGAGACAGAUUCUAAUAGUAAAUAAGUAAAUUUAGUGAAGCUAAAAAACAACCUAGAAUUAAAUAAAUUCAAGGGAACGGACCAAACUAAAGACAAAAGAACCUUCAAAACGCAAAUUCCAGAAUGUCACCUUGUUUUAAGGUUAGACGUAUUUACUUUGAAGUUUGAAAAAAGAUAACAAAAUGAACCAUGGGGUUCUCAAAUAAAGUAUAUCUGAUCUGACAGAAUCUACUGCUUCGGUAAGAUAAGAGCAUGAACUGUAAAGUCUGUAAUGAAUGACAUAAACAUACCCAUGUGGAGUUGGCAUUCCAAAAUUACGCUUAAUAUUUUCUUUUGUGUUUCUUCCUUUCUGAUGGGCAAUAAAUACAUAGGAUUCACCAUCCAUUCUUCCAAUACCAGUAAUCAAAGCAGGAUCAUCAUAUCCAGCACGGUCACCAUGCAGCUCCACCCACUACAAAUAAACAAGUAUUCAGAUGCUUUCAAAAAAAACAAGUGCUCAGAUUGUGCUCAAGAAUCGAUAGAAACCAGUUAGACGUUGUAAAGACAAAUGUUUUAUAGAACAUCAAAUAAUGAAAUAAAUGAAUAGUAAGAUACAGAGUAAGAUCAAUACCAUGUCAGUCAUUUUUAAAAUGUGGUCAAGAGAAGUCGGUCUGUUAGGAUGCCGAGCUAUUUGCAGACGUUGAAAAGGAGUAACAUUUUUAUAUAAAUCUUUCAAAGCCUGCACAGUUAGUAUAAAUAUAUAAUAAAAAAAGUCAGAAAAGGAUGUCUUUAGAUCAAAGAAAAAUUGCAAGCAUUAUCUAACAAAAUUAAAGCAUAAGGUGUUUCUUUUAUCUAUGUAAAUAAUUACCGAUUUACCAUAUACAACGGUAUAACCUGACAUGCUGAACCAAUUUAACAAUUGUCUAACUCCGUAAAUUAAAUUGAAUAGGUAAAAAAACCUGAAUCCAUUUAUAUUAAAAAAAUCAUGAGAUAAAUUUAUCUAAAGAAAACCUGCUGAUAUUUAGCUUCCAAAGAAAUAAUUUGGUCAGUAAAGUCAAGACCAGUUUCUUCUGACAUCUUGCGAACCUGUGAAGAAUUUAAGGAAACAAUUGAAUAAUUAAUAUUUAUGUAUAAAUUUCACUUAUGAGUUCACCAUAGUCAAUAUACUUUAAAAAUUCACAAUCUCUUUCUUUAUAAUUUAAAGAAAUUAGUAAAUAAAAUAAUAAAAGAGUUAGGGACAUCAAAAAAUGAUUAGUGAAAAUGUAAAAAUGAUUCAGAUUUACGAAAAUUUAUCUAGCUGAUAAAAAACUAGUAUUAUCUAGUAUGGAAAAGAAAGUAAAGGAAAAUUUUGAUAAAGAAUUUUGAAAAUAGUGGAUGUUUAACUGUUUAUAAAUGAUUCCUUCUCUUCUUAAUCAUGAUCAGGUUCAAUACACAUUCUACAUCAAAAUUAAGUAAUUAACAAUUAACAUUGUUAAUAACAUUUAAGAAUUACUUCAUUAUAGAUGACUUAUAAAACAGUUGUGAGAAGAAAGAAAAAAACAUGUUUGACUUACAUCCAUUAUCUUUGUCUCCAAAUCAAUUAAUGGCUUUUCAAAUCCAAGUGUAAUUGGCUUUGGUUUCUCGGUAAGAGGCUUGAAGUCCGAUAAAUGACUCAAAUGUCCACUUGUUAGCUUGGGAUCAAUAUCUUCUGGCCAAGGAUAGUCAUGCUUCUGUCCUUUCUUAAUCCUUGCAACAAUACCAGGCCUGCGCUUAUUUCCAGGCCUAAAUUGUUUCAUGUGCUUCAACCAAAUGUCAUUUUUUCCUUUUAAACUCUUUAAUAAACCAUCAUUGGUGAUCCGUGAUCCCGAUACAAAUGUGCAAGUCUUUGUUCCAGUUAUUGAUCCCGAAAAUGCUAAUGAAAACAUCCUUCAGAAUAAUGUAGUACCAAAAGAUGAUCCUGGACAUGCAACAAGUAGAAGACAAUUAGUAAGUAUCCUGUAUAAAAAAGAAAGGAGACAAAUUGCAUAAAUAUUUUCUAAUGUCAUAGUCACGCCCAAGCAUAGUAAUCAACGCCUUGCAUAAACUAAUUUUCUAUUUGAAUCUCUAUGAAAAGAGCCAACAGCAGAGAAUAAAACAUACAGAUCUCCAUUCCUUGAGCAUUCCUAAACAUUAAAACUAAUCCACCUCCAAUGGUAAAUGUGUAGAUCUACUGUUACCACUAUAACAUAGCAAAAUUUAACUAAACAGUAGAUCUAACAUUUAUUCAACUUCGACUUAUAAAUACACCCCAACAAGAUCCCUUUAGGAUUAUAGAUUUCUUCCUGCGAGAACAAACCUGGAAAAUGUAUAUCUGUCUGAACUUCUACUGUCGCCGUCAGACCGCCUACACUCCUGCCAGCUUCGUUCCGUCGAUCUCUCUCAGAUCGCCACUCUCCUCCGUCUCUUUGCCGAUCGAAUUCCCUCCUUCUUGGACUUGGACUUUAAAUCUAGGGUUCUUCAGUUCGUUGAGAAUUCAAUAUUUAUCUUUGUUGAUUUGUUGGCCUACUCAUUAUAGUACACGUGGCGACCAUCCGUGAUAGACUGAUGGCUCAGAUAACGAUCUUGACCGUGUUUGGAAUCUAGGCUGACGGACCUCCCAAUGGUGAGCACCGGCUGCUCCCCAUCACGUGUUUAUUACAUCAAAAUAAUUGUAAAGGCAACUCUCGAGGUAAUAAAUGAUGACAUGUAGUCAAUAUAUAAAGAUUACUCAUACCAUCUAACAAACCCAGAAAUUAGACAUGUUUCAUGUUUCGAACAAACCCAUAAAUUCCACUCGAAAAUCAGCUCGCGUUCUUCAGUUGGUCAAACAGGCUUUGCUGGAAUUUCUCUCUGGAAUACAACCGGCUAAAAAUGACCUUCUAUUUAUAGAUAUUUUAUGGGGUAAUCUGAUCAUUAGGGUCGUAACCGUCCAACUGCUCAGAUCUGACUCCAAAUUAACUUUCUGAGGUCGACUUUUCCUAUUCGACUCCCCAUUAGUUGACUUGGAGCUUCCUAUAACCUAUACGGGUGUUACCAUCUAUUCUGGGCUAUCCGAACCUCCGAUUGUUAUUGUCGUAACCAAGUUUUAGAUACUGUGUCACCAGUGUUCACCUCCCCUUUCAAUACGUACUGUGAAGAAAGUGAGAGUUUCAAUUUUUUGUAUUGAAAGAAUUAUCACAAUGAUAUUAAAUUAGGAUUAACAUGAUUGUUUUCACAUAGAAUUUUGGUUUGAUUGAAUUGAUUUAAUACUGAGUUAUUAUGAAAAGAUUUAUGGAAUGAAAUUAACAAAAGAUUUAUGGUAUGAAAUUCAAGUUAACAAAGUGAAAUUGGAAAUGACAGAAAUCUAAAGAAAAUUAACAAAUUGAAAAAUUGACAAGAGUAAUUCAAGAAUGAUACCACAUUAAAAAAAUAUACAUUAUCUAAUCUACAAUCAAACUGUGAAACAGAUCUACACGGAACGAACACGAUCGAUUCAUCUGAAAAAUUAAAAAGAAUUACCAGAUUGGAAUUUGCAGAAAGAAAAUCUGGAAUGCAAUCCAAUAAGCAAGAACAUCAAUAACAGAAUCAAAGACGAGAAAGAGUAAUGCUCGAUCUGACGGAAUGAAAAAGUGGAAUGCUCGAUCACACCAGAUUCCAGUUGUUUUUAUACAUAUUGUUGGUGGCGAGACAUGGCUGAUUACGUCAGUCACUCCCAGCAACGCCCUUCAACAAAGACUAGGGUUCCAUCGCUUUACGUCGGACCCCCCCGGAAGGCAUUCACAGUGCGGAGCAAGUGUCUAAGUCAAAUACUUAAGGCAACACCUGGGAAUCGCCGACUGGGACUACCAAGUCGCCGAUUCCAGGGGUGCAUCGCCGAUUCCAGACAGGGCACUCGGGUCUGGUAGACUGAGGACCUGACCUCAAGGGAGUCGGCGACUCCACCUCUGAAUCGGCAACUCCCAUACCUGAGUCGUCGAUUCCCAGACGUUACUUGGGAGGGCCCACGUCAUAUGACACCCUUAAUUGGGCACCAUAAUGGAGUGGGUCCCACGCUAAUGAAUGGGGAAACGCCUCUAGAACCCUAUAAAAGGGGUCCUAGGGGUGUCCUCCAUUCUCAUCUCCACUUGAUCAAUCACACUCCACACUAGAGCAACCAAGGAGCCCGAAUCGCCUACUCCCCAAGGAGUCGCCGAUUCCCCUCCUCUUCUGCAGGUGUUUAACGUAGAGCGCGCGCCGUGGACUCCAAAGCCUCUGGCCCUCCUCGCAACCCCGCGAGCCCACUGGUAGCAGAUUCCGUGCUUCAUCAGUUGGACAGUUGGGUUGAUUUAUCCAUCUGGUAGCAUUCUGACCCAGUGAGUUACCCGAAAUUGGACUUUAAUUUCAACGGCUGAGAAUGGAACCAAAGAUCUGACCAUUGAGAUGGUUUCUUUAUAAAUGGACAAUGGUGUUCAGACAUUUACCGUUAGGGUUUAGGGAGUAUGCAGACGCGCGCUGGAAGAAAUAAACGGUGAGACUUUUUAAUAUUUUAAUAAUAUAUGUAUAUGAGAAUAUUUCACAUCCCGGAGAGGACUUGUUGAUCAACAUUCCGAUCAACUCAUUUCUGUUUAUGAUUUUAUGACUUGUCUUCUUCACAUCACGGUCGUUUUCUUCAUGUCUCUUGCUGGUCGAUCCAUUUCUUUAAUAUUUUAAUAAUAUAUAUGAGAAUAUUUCACGUCUCUUGCUGGUCGAUAUACUUUUUCACUAUGUUAUAACGCUCACACUUCACGAAUAAUUUUAUCAUCUCAUAACACUCACAAUGCACUUGUAAUUAGAUUCAUGCCAACACUUACAUCACUCACUCAUUAACACUUCACUUAUAUGUUCACAAACCACUCGAUGACUCACCCUUUAAAAGUAGUAUCGAAAUACGAAAGAAGACAUCUUCUUAAAAUCUUGAAAUGCUAGUCUAUUUGGAAGCUAUCUAGAACCGUAAAAAUUCAAAACCAAGAUCUAAGAUCUCCUGAAAUCUGGAAUGAAGUAAACUGAACAGAAUCUGCAUAGAACCCUGAAAAAUUCCAGAAUUUAACUAUACGAUUAUCAUAAAAUCCAAAAGCUCUUCACUAAACCCAAAAGGAAUCUAGAAUUUAAACCAAUAUCUAGUGGUAUCCCUAGAUUUGAAAAUAAAAUCUGUUGAAAAUAGAGCAGUAGAUAAAUACGACCGCAUAAAACCCAACAGAAAUCCUGAUUGAAACCAAAACCCUGAAACAAGAGUAACUAUCACAAAACCUAAAGUUUGAAAAUCUAGAAAACAAGGGUCUGAAAUCUGAAAAUCAUAAAAUCAAAACCAAUGAAAUGAUUUAAAUAAAAUCAACUAUUUAGUUUCAGCUCAAUAAUAUAACCCAUUCAAUACCAUAAUAAACGUAGCCUCAUAAAUCUAUGCUGCAUCUACAUCACUCUCACGUUCUAAUAAAUAACUACUAACCAAAAAAUCAGAUUCAUGUAUUAGGACUUCUCACCUUACAAAUCUGACCAAAUAAUUUCAUCUCACAAAUCCACUCAUUAAAUAAAUACAACCCCAAAAGCACCAACGCAACAUCACAAAAAUAUCCUAUAACAAUAUGAGAUCAUCACUGAAUAACCAAGAUCAAGGAAUCACAUGGGCAUAUCCAAUCUGCACUAUCGUUCAACAACCCAAUAACAUGCACAGCAAAAAUCAGAUUCACAUUCAUAUACUCAGAACAAAAUCAGACUCUAUAAAUCCCAUACCUCGUUUUGUUUUUGAACCCUCUCCCAACACAAUCCACACCAAGCUUUCCAACCACCUCGACACCUCCUCGCUCGUUUCCCCGAUACUCUCUCGCCGGAGUUUCGUCUCCGUCCCCACCCUAGCCUCACCGGAGUAGUCACCGUUCUUCUUUCACUCACGUUUCUCCCAACCUUCCCUCUUUCCAUUCUUGGUCUAUAUACCCCCUCUCCUUUCUUUCAAAAUCCUAACCAUGAUUUUAACUAUAUGAUUUCAUUGGAAUGGGCCUAGCUCACGGCAUUGGAUCACUCCUAUGUUAAAAAUCUUUUUUUUUUAUUUUUUUUAUUUUUAUAAACAUAUUUAUUUAUUUUCAUGGUUUUCACAGUUUCUUUGUAGUCAAAACCUUCUACUUGAGUGUUGCCUUUAGCUACCAACCUAGCUUUUAGUCUCUCAAUAUCCCCAUUGGAGUUAUGUUUAACUUUAUAUACCCAUCUAAAUCCUACCACUUUUCUUUUUUUAGGUUUGGGUACUAUUUCCCAAGUAUCAUUUAGCUCUAGUGCUGUCAAUUCCUUAUUCAUUGCUUUUACCCACUCUGGGCUUUGACUUGCCUGUUGGAAUGAUUGUGGUUCUGAUGUUAUGGAUAUUUUAUCCAAAAAAUCAAUGUGUGAGGUUAAGAGUCUUUUAUAUGUUAGAUAAUCAUGCAUAGGGUAUGCAGUGCCCUUGGAUUUGCCAUUGCUAGUUGCAAAUGAGCAAAAAUAAUUAUUUAGUCUUGUUGAUGUUUUUCUAUCUCUUUUAGGAUAUCUUCUCUCAAGCUUUUCAGGAUCUGAUGGGGAAGGUUCAUCAAUUAUGAUGGAUUCCAUAGAUGGGUUUUGGGAGUCUUCAGAUGGAUUAUUUAGCCCAUCAUCAGAGUUGUUUUCAGGAUCAGAAUUAAUAUCAUAUUCAUCUCCUAUUGGGAUUUCUCUAUGGGAUCCAUUUGGGGUGACCUCCUCUUUUAAAGGGAAGGUUUCUUCAUAAAAGAUAACAUCUCUACUCACAGAGAUGUUGUCUUUUAGAUUAUAAAUGAUGGAUCCCUUUUGUGUAGAGGAUUGUCCUAGAUAUAUACAUUUUCUUGCCCUGGGGGAGAAUUUGUCCUCUCUUGUUAAGCAUGUGGCAUAGCAUAAGCAACCAAAUGUUCUAAGGCUCUCAAAUUUGGGUUGUUUUGAGUGUAUGAGUUCAUAUGGUGAAAGGUUUUGUGUUACCUUAGAAGGUAACAUGUUGAUUAUGUAGGUUGAGUGAAGUAUGAAGUAUCCUCAUAAUUCAGUAGGAAGUGAUGAUUGCAUUUGUAAUGCUCUUGCAACAUUUAGGAGGUGUUGGUGUUUUUUUUCAACCACACCAUUCUGUUGUGGUAUGUGUGGCCAACUAGAGUAGUGGAUGAUGCCCUUAUCCUUUAGGAAGGCAUCCAUGGUUGAGGAAAAGAAUUCCCCACCAUUGUCAGUCCUAAUAGAUUUAACAGAGGUAUUGAAUUGAUUUUUAAUCAGAGCAUGAAGAAGUUAAGAAGCAAGGUGAGGUGCGCACGAAGAAGCAACAGUCGGCCGGAAGAGCAGGCGACAGAGAAUGAGAGCGUCAUUUGAGAAACCCUAGAGGGGUUUAGUUUUGUAUUAUAAUAAAACAAGAUAACCUAAGUAUUACAAGUGUUUGGUAUUUAUACCAAUGAGAAUUACUGGGCCUUGAGUGUGGACCAAAAUUAACCUAAGAUAAAUGACUUUAAGAAUGGUUUUAUAAACUAACUAAUAGAUAAUAAAAGAGACUAAUUCACUUCUUAGUAAAUGCUUCCAUACAAUUCGUUCUAAAAUUAACCCUAUUUAAUUUUAGAUCGCACCAAAUGAAAUUUAGAUCGCAAAAAAUUCUAAAUCGAUAAAAUUUAGAUUAAACAGUUUCAAAUAACUCAACUACUCAAGGUCAAGACAACUAAAGUAAACAUAAAACAUAAUAAAAAAAAUACGCAGCAAGAAAAUCAUCCCCUGCCAAUAGAAUAGAGUCAAAAGGUGCAGCAGAAGAUUCCCUUGGUCUCUUGGUUCCAAAUCUACAAUGCUGAUUCAAUUUCAGAUUCAGCUUCAGCUUCCAUGGAUUCAAAUGAUUCUUUGUUGUCCCCUUUCAAUCGUGAAGACACGUUGUCGAUGGUAGAAUUCAACUGACCAAUUCUCUCUUUCAAAGUAUGUUGAGUCAUCUGUAUAUAUUUUAUGAAAUUGUGAGAAUGUAUGUAAUAAGAAUGUACGUGAAUUUCGUUACCUCUGGCUCUAAACGCUUUCCAUAAUAUUUGGGCUCUUUGAGUCUUUGAAAUCCAUCUUCGUUUUCAUUCAGCAAAGAUUUCCUUAUCUGCUUGUCGGAUUUUACUGAAGGUCAAUUGUUUUAACUUUUACAUAUUUCAUAUACUAUCAACUUGAACAGAACCAAGUUAAGAAACAUGCAUUUUCGAUCAAAUAACAAAUCAAUUUUAGAAAAUAUUAAACUGACAUCAUUUGUUAAUACUAAACCUAGUUCGUAUGUAUACUUAUUUUAGUCAUUAUAGUUAAUUAUAUUUAACAGUAGUUAGUUAAAUUCUCAGUUUCUAUAUUAUAUAUAGUCACAAAUGAGACUUCAACAGAACAUAAUUUCAAUAGAACAAAACUUAUUACCUUUCUCAUCGAAAAUUUGUAUCUUUCAUAAUUUUCAUAGACUUUCUUUAAUAUAGACUAUAGGAACAAUUAGAACAUUGAACAAUUUACACCUUUGAAAAAUAACCCAACAACUAUGUUGCAAAUAUGCAUGCAAAUUGAAGUAUCGAACAACCAAAAGGAAAGCCACGUUAUUUGGCAUCCUUAUUUUCUGAAGAGGUAAUCAAGGGUAAAAGUAAUCGACCUAAGUCAAAUAAUCCCAAGUGAAAUUACAUGGCAAGAAGGAGAUUGCAGAUUAUUUUGCAAAAAAACAAGGUCAUUGCCGCAACCAAGAUCAAGAGAAGAGAGAUCUUUACUCUUUACUAAUAAUAUUGUCGUUUGUUGAGAAUGAAGUCGAUGUAAUAGGUUAGUAGACCUCCUGAGGUAGUCUUUAAAGAGGUCAUUAAAAACAUCAGUCUCUCCUUUGAUUCAGAGGGUUACAAGAAAAGUUGUUGUCACCCUUUGGAGACACCUAUGAUGGAAGUAUGGGAGACCAACCUCCUGAGGCAGCAUAGCUAGUUACUGUAUAACUAGACUACAUAGCUAAUGGGAGAGAGUCAAUGAUCUUCUUGCUUAUUUCUUUUUGCUUAUGUUUUUAUUUCUAUUCUCUAUGUAACUUGGGCAUUGCCCUUAUUUUUUUAAUGAAAUUUAAUUUCUUUCAAAAAGAAAAAAGUCGAUGUAAUAGACGUAAGAGUGAAGACCCAAAGGGUUUGAAAUACAUAAAGAAGAAACUCAAGGUUGUUGGGAUUGCUUCAUCGUCCAUGUCGGUUGUGUUUGGAUUUUUUCAAUUAGAGAAGGAUGAAACCAUACACGUGUACAUGAUAUUCUUGAGAAUCGGAAGAGAGUAAAAUAACCAUGAGAAAUGCAUAGUGGACAAAAUAAUUGUUAGGUUAUUCUAAUCAUUCGCUAUUUCAUUUAACAUCGGCAAUAAAUGCUGAUUUUGAAGUCAUUGGAAAACACAAAUAGAGCUAUAAAUCCCCAACCAUUUGAGAACUUUGUGGGUCUAUUACAAGAACAAGUCAUCAACAUUAAUUUGACAAGGAAAAAGAACAUAGGUCAAAUAGAAAUUUUUACUAGUUAUUUGUUGAUGUCUGAUGGAUGAACCAACAAAUAAGGAAGAUGCAUCAAUAUGAAAAUUCACUAAACCCUAAACCUAUUCUGAUGACACUCUCAGAAGCAUUUGGUACAGGGUAGUUUGCCUGCCUCCACUAGCAGAAGAUACUUCGAGCGUAAUCUAGAACAGAUACCCAAUCAAUUCUUUCUUUUCUCCAGACAAUAAGCAUAGAUAAUGUGCUUGUAUACCCCAUUGUUUAAGCAUACAAAAGGAGUGCAAGAACUCCCAUCUCAGCUGUCCCGGAUCUUCCUAAGAUCCAUUAAUAUAUCAAAAACAAUAAUCUAAGGUGAAAAAACCCUAAAGCCCUACUUGCUAACUUGCAAACUCUAAAUUCACUCUCUUACCAGAAAGUGAAUCUAUAGACUUUGCAGGAUUGUUGAUCAUUUUUCUUGGUAAAAAAGAUAAUGAUACCCUCAUUACCUUAUCAUUGAUCAUAGACUCGAAAAGGUUGGGAAAUACCAUUAAGUCAAACUUACACUCAUCCAAUGAUUUAUUCAUCUUGGAUCUUAAGUUAUUGAAUAUUUGAAUCCGCCAUUCAUGUAUAUUUUACGUAAAAAAAUUCUAUAGACUACCUGUGGAGCAAAGAUAUAUGCCAAUGUUCCAAAGAGUGCCCCUCCUAAAAUAAAACCAGCAGCAAAAUCACCACCAGCGUUAUAGCCAUCGUCCCUGAAAGAUUUCAAAAAAAACAAUCACAGUUCUAAGAAAUAAUUUAUAAUUUUUUACCAAUAUAAACAAGGUCAGUUAAAAAUGAUGAGUUUUUUUUUCAUCUGGAUUAUUAUGUAAUUCAAAUGAUUUUUUUUUAGUUUAUUGAAUCUAUGAUGAACAAGGUUUUGUUCUGGAGAUAAAAUUCCAUUAUACGGAGAACUAAGCUCAUAAUCACAGGAAAAAAAAUGAUGAGGUAUGGAUAUGCAGCCAUCCGACUCAUUUCCUAUCUAGCAUUAUUUCUAGUGAUAAUAUAUUGUUGCCUCAGAAUGGAAGUCUCCCGUAAAUUAAACAAUCUUGAUGGAAUCAAUACCAUUAAAGCAUCAACAUUUGAAUACAGUGUUUCAAAUUUAAAGCCAGACGUGUGAUUUCUGAACAGUGGCAAAUGCAUCAUGGUUUGGUACUUUAAUAAAUAGCAAACAAAAUACCUAUACUCAGCACGAACAGAGAGCAAUUUACGACGGUGAUCCGACAGUCUAGGUUGACGAAGAUACAAGAUCUGUAAUCGACGGCCGUCCAAUGCUCCAAUCUUAGUAGAGUUAAUACAUGGAGAUCCGAAAUGAACUCCGCCUACAAAUCAUUCAAAACAAAACAAAGAAGAAAAAAAAUCGCAACAGCCCUAAAUAAACAGUAGACGAGAAGUAAGAGCAAGCAAAGAGAAAAGAAACAUCAGAGACCAGCGAUGGAGAGGGCGGAAGAAGUAGUAAAAAACGCCAUGGCCGAUGGAGAGAGUGAGCACUGACUGAGAGGCGGCAAGAACAAAGCAAAAUGCGUAGUAGGUCUAGUAGUAGUAGUAGCUUUGGUUAAAUCGAAAAUAAAAUUUUCCUAUUGCAUUUUCAUCCCUAACAAAUAAAAAAAUUCCCAAAAACAUUUCCUGAUUGAAAAAAGGUUUGAACUUUGAACCAAACUAUUAAAUUAAUGAUACAAAUAUCCAGAUAUUAGUUUAAUUUGAAUGCUAUUAAUUCAGUUAAUUGUGUUUUUAUUUGAAUUCGUUAAAUCCAAUUGUGAUUUUGGUUGAAUUACACAACGCCUAACUCUAGUAAUAAUUAGUAAUUAAUUAGUAAUUCCAUGAUUGCAUGUAAUUAUGGAAUCAGUUACAUAUUCUAGAAUCUCGGUGAAACAAGAUUCUCUCAGAAAUCUUGUCUUCUACUAACACCGAUAUCUUCUACAAACACCAAUAAACUGCGUACAACACAUUAGAUAAUUCUACCUCUACUCGUUUGGGGUUUUCAGUAAAUAUGUAAGAACAUAGACAGAAAAAGAGAACAUCAACAAUGGAGGAUUAGAGACUUAGAAGAACAUUGGGGGAGGAGGAGGGGGAGGAGGAACAGGGGCAUAAGGCAUGAGGGGAGUUCCAUGUUCGAUAGGUUUGGGAUGGAUUGAAGCCUUGGAGCUUGGUGCCGGAUCUAAUCCUGGGUAGUCUUCUUCAAUCAUCAAUUUGCGAACCACAAUCUUUUUCUGAACCAGAAAUGUAGGGAAAUAAUAUUAAUAAGAUCAGUUUUCGUUAAAACGAUAUCGAUAUCACAAGAUUGUGAAAUGCACGCACAGACCUUAAAGUUCCUGUCAAUGCCUGUUGUUUUGAGAUUAAAGAUAUCAUCAUCUGAUGGACGACAACAGAUAGAAGAAGCAAUCAAUGAAUGAAAAAAAACCCAAUCAGAUGGGGAUGAAAAUUUGAAAAGAAACUAGUAUUUGCUAGUUUACCACAUACCUGGUGAAGAAACAAAUCGAGUUCCAAAACGCAACAAGAUGAGGAGAUAUAAAGUCGUAGGGAUGAAAACAACCCAAAAUCCCAAACAUCUCAUUAUUUGUUAGCUGCUGGGUGAGAACUGAGAUAACAAAGAGGAACCAAAAUGGAGGAGGUGAGUGAACAAACCACUCAACCACUGCAAUGUGCGUGCGAGGUAAGCGAGCCAAUGAUAUGAAAGUCUUGCCAGGCGGCAUUCUCUGAUGGGAGCUUCAUUCGGCGAUUCAGUUUUCUUUUUUUAUAGCAUUUAUUUCAACCAAGAAAGCUGCCAAUGCAGCAGGUUUUUGAAAUGGAAAAAAAAUAAUAUAAAAAUAGUCACUUAGAGUGCUAAACAGACAGAUAAACAGAUGAAGAAGAUGGUUUGUAAUUGAUUGAAAUUGGUUGAAAUUGAUUGAAAGUAAGAAAUCUGGCCUGGAAAUAAACAAAACCAAGUAUACAGAUGCAGGUUUUUGUAAUUGAUUGAUAAAGUUUCAAUCAUGAUCUGUCUGGCUCUCUAACUUGGGAGAUUGUCCCACGGAUGGGCGGCCUUACACCAAAUUUGAACAGAUAGGCUGAUUCAUGAAUUGGGCGUAACUGGGUGAUAAACUCCGCAUCCAGAUAAGCAUCGCAGUUGAAGCACCAAACUGAUAAAUCACUAUCAUGUAAAUGUGUAAUUUAUUCACAGGUUAGUUAGUUUAUCAGUUAUCACUAUCUUCUAUCAAUGUUAAAAAUCACUAAAACUGUAGACUGUGGCACAGUACCUGUAGCUUAGAGCCAAGCAGUGUCCAGUUUCCUGAUAAUGAUUAAACAUAUGCUUGUUCACAAACCGACUGCAGAGGAUAUCUUUGCAAAUCAAGCAUAUCCAAUUCUCCCUUGUGUGCUGGCAUCUGAAACGGUAAUAUCCAAUUCACUUGCUUGUAACGGUAAUUCUACAAACAGAUUUACGGCAAAUAACCAGAAAUUACUAAAUACUGACAUGUUGCAGGGUGUGUCGAUAUGAGGGAUAUGGUACAGAUCGAAAGAUAGAGUGUGAAGAUGAUCGCAUGAAGUUUUUGCUUCAACCCAACCUGAUUCGGCCCCGAUCAGAUCAUCUACCUCUUCUAGAAUCUACAAAAAAAAACAUGAUUAUUCAUCAUCGAGAAUAACAAAACGCAAGUGUCGACGGAGAAAACUAGGGCUGCCGUAAGAUCGUAAGACCGACGUACCAUAGCAGACGAUGCCGAAGCUGACGAGGAGAAGCCCCGUGUGGAUGCCGACAUCGAUUUCGAGCUCCAAUCGACAGACAAUAAUUUUCAGAAAAAGGUUUAUUAUUUUUUAGGUUAGUUACAGGAACCGACCUCAGAUCUCGCCCUUUGUUUUUACAAUACACAGGCUGAUUUUUUUUUUUUGUGGUUUUCACACGGGGUGAUAUUGGAAAUGGAUAUUGGAAAUUCGUAUUCGUUUAGGUUUAAUUGAAUUCGUAUUCGUUUAGGUUUAAUUGAAUUCGAAUAUUUCUAAACGAAUUCGGAUAAUUGAAUAAAUAUAUAGGGCAUACCUGUCUUGUGAGGUACAUGUGACGGACACCAUAUCCGACCGUUCAAUUCCUACGCGAAGCUCGACCGUUCGUCGAGGGUGUCUGAUGUGACCUACUUGUCCGUCGCGGGUGUCAGAAUCACCACGAUCGGCGAUCGCGAGAUGACAGUUGCGGUUCCACAUGACUUGACGAUAUCCAUACGCGGGUGUCACCGGACAGGCAGGAGGUCGUAGGCAACCCAUACCUCUAUAGCUAGACAGCUCCUAGCCAAGUGGAUGUGUGUGCUAUUUUGGAUGUCCGACGGGAACGACACACACCAUGGCUGACGAACGACCGAUCGCAAUUUGACGGCAUCCAUCACACGUACCGUUCGACAUCCGGUGAGGACAGAUAUCGUGCCUGAUAUUUUCUGUAAAUAUAUAAAUAUAGAGUUAGUUUCAGGUGUGUCAAACCUUAUAUGUGUCACAAUGUGCCAAAAAAUUUCGUCCAUUAGAUCGCUCGGUUCACAUUUCGUUAUUCAUCAAUAACUAGAUUCAGUACAACGACUAGUUCAAAUCUCGAGAUUUUACCAAAAGACGUACAUCAUGUAUAGGAGUCAUACUUAUUGAUGACUUGACAUAUACUAGACAAGACAACUCCUCCUACUAUACCUAUUACAUCAUACGACUACUUAUUAAAAGUUAUUAUAAGUACUACGAUAAAUUCAUUAGUCAAUGACUUCACUACCAUCACUUCAUUCAUUUUCCACUACUAAAAUCAUUAUUUUCAUAACGAACGGUUGUCCUUAACCUACUUUGAUCCAACGACGUACCACGUUUUAGCGUAUUAAGCACACCGAGUUUUGGCACAUCAGAAGUGUGCCCUAUAAAUAUAUAAUAAUUUUAUAAUUUUUACCUUUUCUAAUAUAAUGUAAUCUAUAUUGUGCUGGAUUUAUAUGUUAAAAUAUUACAAAGGUUUUUCCUAAAAAAAAGUAAAAUAUUAAUUUCUUAAUUUUUUUGUAAAUAUCAUUUGAACCCAAUUCGAUCGAAUUCGAAAUUUGAAAAAUAAUUAGACGAAAUUAGAUUCUUCGGAUACUAAACGAAUUUGAAUUUGGAUACAGACACAGACGUAUGCAGCAGGGCAAGAGAGGGCAAUUGCCCCCUCCUAAAAGUUGGAAAAAAUUAAGGAUCUAUAUGCAAUAAUUUUUUUACACAGGGUUAAAUGUAAUUUUUAAACUAUAUUAAUAUUUUUUAAGGGUUAAUAUAUAAAUUUCACAAUAUUUUAGAUACUUUCUCUCCCUUCUCGCCUCACGUUUCACAAAUCUCCCGUUCUCUCCCAAAACCCUAAUCUUCUCCGGCCUCCAGGAAUCUCUUCUUAGAUUCUUCACUGUUGUUGCUGCCUUGCUGGAAAUCUCUUCUCCAGUUAUCUCUCCGUUGCUACUUGCUGGAUUCUCUCAUUUCUCUGGUAUUUAUUUGUUGAUCUUGUUUGUUGUUUCUACAUAUUAUUUGGGUCUGAUAGAUAUGAUACGAUGGUGAUGGUCUGAUGGAUUUUAUUGAUGUUUGAUUUAGUUAGUUGAUUAGUCCUCAUAUGAAGUUAGGUUCUCCGGUCUGCAUAUGAAGUUAGAACUCACAUGUUAAUGUUCUGUUUUUGAAAAAGAAAAGCACAUUAAGAGAUUUUCUUUUCAUCUUCGCACAUAUAUUCAAGUUUGGGAAUGUUGAAAAUUGACAGAGGUAUUGUUCCUGAUAGAUUGUUGAAACUCAAAUUCCUAAAAAAUUCCAAGGAUAUGAAUUAAAUGAUUUUAUAUUGAUGAAAUGUGUUGUUAAACAAAUGGAGAGUAUAAAAAAAAUAAAACUUACAGAUAUCCCAAAUUUGUUUUUCUUGCACAAUCCGUAACUACUAACUACGAACUGUGAGAUCUGGCAUUUGACAUCCAAAAAUUCCCAUUUUAAUUUCUUAGGUUUUUUCCUAUCCAAAUUAUCUGUCAACUGUCAGAUGAUUUUAUGCAAACACUUUCUAAUAUUUGCUUGUCGACAUCCUAUUUUGGGUUUGUAGCUUGAUUAAAUUUUCAUUUUUUAUCGUGUAAUCUAUAAUGUAUUACUCUCGGUAAUCAAGCUUAUCGACUUCAGCUCUGAUUUUUUGUUUCAUGUCUGCAGUUAUUUUAAGACCAAGCCACUGUCUUCAAUAACACGCUAAAAAAGCAUGGCCUCCCGUUUCUGGACUCAGGUAAUCACGGCUUGUGUUUUUUCCCCAAAGAAAAUACUAAAAUAGUGCUCCCUUCUUGGUACCCUUUAUUUUGAAGACUUAUUUAUUUCUCUUGUGAUGAAUUACCAGGGUGGUAGUGACACCGAUGAAGACGAAAGUGAGUAUGAAAUUGAUUCAGAGGAUGAGGUCGAGCCAAGUUCUGGUGCAAAACCAGCAAACCGUUAUCUGGAGGAAAAUGCUAGUGAUAGCGAUGACUCUGAUGGCCACAAACGUGUGGUGCGCUCUGCCAGAGACAAGCGCUUUGAUGAAAUGUCAGCUACUGUAGAUCAGAUACGGAAUGCCAUGAAGAUCAAUGAUUGGGUAAGCCUGCAAGAGAGCUUCGACAAAAUUAACAAACAGCUAGAGAAGGUCAUUCGGGUGAUGAAAACCGACACGGUCCCCAAUCUUUACCUCAAGGCUCUAAUCAUAUUAGAGGAUUUUCUUGCCGAGUCCCUGGCAAAUAAGGAUGCCAAGAAGAAGAUGAGCAGUAGCAAUGCCAAGGCAUUGAACUCAAUGAAGCAGAAACUAAAGAAGAAUAACAAGCAGUAUGAGGAGGCGAUUACAAACUACAGACAGAAACCCGAAACUGAGAGUGAAUCGGAGAGUGAUGCUAACGACUCUGAAUCAGUUUCAGAAUUUGAGGAAGAUCCAACAGCAGCUGCACCCUCCGAUGAGGACAACGUCGAUGACCAGGAUCAAAAUGAUAAGGGCUGGGAGCGACAGAUGAACAAAAAAGACAAACUUAUGGACAAGCAGUUCAUGAAGGACCCAAGUGAGAUCACAUGGGAAAUAGUUGACAAGAAGUUUAAAGAGAUUGUGGCUGCAAGAGGUAAAAAGGGAACCAGCAGAGCUGAGCAAGUUGAGCAGCUUACAUUUUUGACUCGAGUUGCAAAAACGCCUGCUCAGAAGCUUGAAAUCUUGUUCAGUGUGAUAUCUUCCCAGUUUGAUAUCAAUCUGAGUAUUAGUGGUCACAUGCCCAUAAAUAUUUGGAAGAAGUGCUUAGACAAUUUCCUAGGUGCGCUAGACAUCCUUGAGCAGAAUCCAAACAUAGUGGUUGAUCAAUCUGCCGAACCUGAAGAUAAGGAAUCACAUAGAGAUUCAGAUUACGAAGGAACCAUCCAUAUCUCAGGGAGCUUAGUAGCUUUGCUUGACCGGCUAGAUACUGAAUUUUACAAGAGCUUGCAAUGCAUUGAUCCCCAUACCAAGGAGUAUGUUGAUAGACUUAGAGAUGAGCCUAUGUUUUCUCUUCUUGCCCAAAAUGUUCAAAGAUAUUUGGAAAAAAUGGGUGAUCUUAAAGGAGCUUCCAAAGUGGCUUUGAGACAGGUUGAGCUUAUAUAUUAUAAGCCUCAGGAAGUUUAUGACUCGAUGAGAAAGCUAGCAGAACAUGAAGCUCUUGACAGAGAACUUGGUGGAGAUGAGAAUCAAAAUGCCGAAGAAAUCAAAGGACCUUCUGCAUUUAUUGUUAUCCCAAAAGUUGUUCCACGGAGUCCUACGUUCCCAGAAAGUAGCCGAGCAUUGAUGGAUAGAUUGGUUUCCCUUAUAUACAAGAGUGGUGAUGAAAGGACAAAGGCUCGAACAAUGCUCUGUGAUAUCUAUCACCAUGCCAUCUUUGAUGAAUUUUCCAUUGCUUGUGAUCUUUUACUGAUGAGUCAUCUCCAGGAAGGAGUCCAACAUAUGGACAUAUUGACACAAAUGCUGUUCAAUAGGGUGAUGGCUCAACUUGGUCUCUGUGCUUUUAGAGCUGGCCUUACUAAAGAAGCUCACGGAUGCCUUUCUGAACUCUAUUCAGGUGGAAGGGUAAGGGAGUUGCUUGCCCAAGGUAUCUCGCAAAAUCGAUAUUAUGAAAAGACUCUAGAGCAGGUAUCUUUGUAUUAGAUAUUUAAGUUUUUUAUUUAUAUAUUUUUUACUCACGAAUCAUAUCAUUUUGGUCUUUUUCUAAAAUACAUUGCAAGAUUUCCUAUGCUUGUGACGAGCAGACAGUCGCACAUAUAUGUCAUAUUGUAACUGCGCAAAUUUCGGCUUGCAUAUUUGCAAGCAUGUGAUUGUAUGUUUGGUGGAAAUUUAAGCAGAUCCAUGCUAGAAUUUUGACCCCAUCCUGAUGGAAGAUUUAAAUUUCAUUAGUUAGUAGAUGACCGGUGUCGACCGGUUGGAUAAUUAACAAGUAUCAAGUUCAUUUAUGAUAAAGUGUAGAGAAGGUGAUGGGAUUUGUGAGAAUCUUGGAUUGCAGCAACAUGCCAAUCCUCAACAUUUAGCUAUGGAAGAUGAAUAAACGAUAGUCACGAUCUCAAGCUAUAAGAUGAUUGAACUCUUUAGAGCUUUUUUUUAAUUCUUAGAAGUAACAUCAUUAUGUUAUGAAGUAUGAACACUCAACUUUCUUUUAGUUUAUGUUUUGAACCUUAUUGCUUGAGAUACAUAAAUAUCUUUCUAAGUAUUUAAACCUUAUUUUUAAGAUACUAAGCACUUUCUAAAUAUGAUAUAGGCUUAUUAGCUUAUAAGGCUUAUAAGCCGUUCUUUCUCUAUUUAUUUGGAUGCCUUUUAUUAUAAAAAAAUACAGUGUGAUAAUUAGAUUUUUAUAUGUGAUUGCUGCUGUUAUUGUAAAUACAAUUGCCUUGUUUUCUUGUGCUAUCAUGAUGCAUUGAUUUGCAUAUUGAAUGUUUUCGUAGUGCAUCUUUUUAUGUUGUAAGAUAUGGAUUUAUUUGGGUUUGUUUUGUUUUUUGCAGGAAAAAAUCGAGAGGAUGAGACAAAUGCCCUACCAUAUGCACAUAAAUCUUGAGCUUCUAGAAGCAGUCCAUUUAAUUUGUGCUAUGCUCCUUGAGGUUCCCAACAUGGCUCUAAACUCAAAUGAUGUUAGACAGAAAGUGAUGAAUAAGAAUUUCCGUAGACUCCUUGAUAUUAGUGAACGACAGACUUUUGGAGGACCUCCUGAAAAUGUUAGAGACCAUAUAAUGGCUGCGGCAAAAGCUCUUAGAAAGGGAGAUUUUGAGAAGGCCUUUGAUUUCAUCAGCUCCCUUGAUACAUGGAAGCUUUUGAAGAACAAAGAAAGUGUUCUGGCAAUGUUGAAAUCCAAGAUCAAAGAAGAAGCUUUAAGGACAUAUUUAAUUUCCAAUGCGUGUAGCUACGUGUCGUUGAGUUUGGAUCAUCUCAUUCUUAUGUUUGGCCUUUCUAACACACAAGUUCACAGCAUUGUGAGUAAGAUGAUGAUCACAGAGGAAUUGCAAGCAAGCUGGGACCAACCUGCAAAGUGUAUAAUAUUCCAUAGUAUGGAGCAAACAAGAGUGCAGACCCUCGCUUUCCAGCUUUCAGACAAACUCGGCGUUCUUGCUGAUAGCAAUGAAAGAGCAUAUGAGGUCCGAACAGGUGGUAGUUUGGAUGGGCUUCCUUCAAGACGGCGGACAGAUGGUCAGGAUUAUUCUGGAAAAUGGCAAGAUAAUAUCUUCACAUCACAAGGAAGGCAAGGUGGCGGUGGAGGACGUACAGGUUAUACUGGAAGAUUUGGGGGCUCUACACAAUCUUCGGUGGGAGUAUUCUCAAGGGACAAGGGAGUUGGAGGAGGGUAUGGAAUUCGGGGCACCGGUGGUGGUGCUCGGAAUCAAGAUGGAAGACAUUCAUAUCAAACAGGAUUGUCUAUGAAAGGAAGGCAGGCAGAUGCUUCAAGUCGUAUGGUUAGUCUUAGCAGGGGUGACAGAUUUUAAUGAAUGACUGUCUGACUUGGUAUUUUUUGCUUAUUGGCAAUUUUCUUAUAGCAUCGAUGAGGAUUAAAUCAUGAUCUUGAUAUAUUUUGUUUCUUCAAAUUAAACCAGUUUUAAGUUAUUGAUAAGUCAUGAUGAUGUUCUUGAUAUUAGAUUUAAUAAUUAUAAACUUUUAAUACUAUUCUGUUUUAUGUUGAAGUUCAAUUAUUCAUGCUUGUGUGAUUGUGUUUACAUUUUGCAUUAGCUUUUAAAUCUCAGUUUAGUUAUUUUUUUAGCGAGCUCUAUUGAAGUUCUUUUAUAUUGCAGUAACAUAUGGUAGCAGCUCUUCGUCGCCAUAUCAAUCCUGCAAUCAUUUAUCUGAUCAUACCUUGUAUGAUUUACUUACUCUAACAUUUAUUAGCAACAUAUUUAACGGUUAAUCCGUCAAAGCAGAAUUUGAAUUUUUAAAGUAAAAUAGAUUAGAUGAUUAUUUAAUUAUUUUCCUUCGAAAAAGACGUUAAAAAAUGUCAAAAAGAAAGAAGAAGAAAAUAUGGUGCUUACGGCUUACCCAGACAUCCAGGUUUUGACGUUUUAGAUAUAGAGAUAACUUCCAAAGCAAGAACAUGGGAGAUGCUGGCGCAGAUUUGAGAAAAUGGCGGAUUGUGAUCAAGAAAUUCCCACUCCACCCCCUACUCUGGCCAUGCUUUUUUGGUACAGUCAGCUCGAACACUCCUCCAGCAGUAGUUCUAGUAAAAAAAGAGCAAGCGAUUGGUAUGGAUUAUGGAUUCGUCAUCGUUUUUCUUCUUCUUUCGGUAUCAUUUGUUUGACGAUGAUGUGUUUGUGUUAAUGCCCAUGUCAGGAUUUUCUCCGAGGAGACCCCAAGUGAUAUCACUAUUGAUGUCGGAGGGGACGUCUUCAAUUUACAUAAGGUACGACGGGUUUAACUUGUUGGUACCAAAGUUGUGUAUUUGUAAUCCCGAUGGCCAUAUUGCAGUUCCCUCUGGUAUCAAAGUCUGGUUACCUGAAGAAAUUGCUCUCCAAGGAUAAAAAUGUCACCAACCUGUCCAUCGAGGUUGCCGAUGUUUCAAAAGCCUUCCAACUGGUAGUCAAUUUCUGCUACGGAAAAGAUUUCCAGAUAACCAUCGAAAACAUUGCGGCGCUCCGUUGCUUGUCGGAACAGCUUGAGAUGACAAACAAGUAUUCACCCAACAAUCUUGUCAGUGUAACAGAGGAUUACAUCCAACGUGUUGCAUUAACCAGUUUUCCUAACGCGAUCACUGUGUUGCGUUGCUCUGAAAAACUUGGUAAUGCUCCCAUCGUUGAGAGAGUCAGAUUGGUGAGUAGAUGUAUCAAUGCGAUAGCUUACAUAGCAUGCGACCAAGAUGAGUUCUACUCCUCACUGACAAAUGAAAAUCACCAAGGGUUUAUGGAUUGCUGGGCACAAGAUUUGACAGCCCUUGGGAUCGAUACAUUGGGAAAAGUUUUGUUUGCAAUGGCAAAAGCUGGAGUUAAACAGGAUGCUCUGGGGACAAUUCUUCUUCUCUAUGCUCAGAAAUCACUAAAAGGAAUUGUGAGUCAUCAAUGAAUUGAUAAUUCUUUUUAGUGAUUUCAUUUGAUUUUAAAUUUUUGAUGCAGGACAUAUUUGGGAGAGGAAGAAAGAAGAUGGAGUCAAGAAAGCAGUAUGAGAAAAAAGAGUGAUACUAGAAACCAUUGUUGGUCUUUUACCAAAGGAAGCAAGAGCCACUCUGCCAGUUACUUCUCUUAGCAUGUUGUUAAGAGCAGCGAUUUAUCUCGAAACAACAAUAGCUUGCAGGCUUGAUCUUGAAAAGAUGAUAAGUUUCCGGUUAGAUCAAGCCACAUUGGAUGAUCUUCUGAUUCCAUCUUUCUCCAUUGCCGAUGACACUUUGUUAGAUGUGGACACUGUUCAGAGGAUCUUGGUGAGCUUUUUAGAAUCCCAGAUUGAUGAUGAUAGUGUUGAUGACAUGGAGGAGGAGGAAUGUAAAAAGAAGAACAAAAAGGAGAGUAAGGUUGGAAAGCUCAUGGAAUUCUACCUUGCAGAGAUUUCUACUGACCUAAACUUAUCAGUUUCCAAAUUUGUUGGAUUUGCUGAGUUGAUCCCAGAAGAAGCAAGAACCACCGAAGAUGGCAUGUACAGAGCAAUCGAUAUCUAUCUCAAGGUAGUUCAAGAAGAGAUUGUGAAAUGUUAAUUAACAUCUAUCAUCAUAUAUUUUUUCUAAAAUGAUGUGCAGGCACAUCCGUCGCUAAACGACGUUGAGAAGAAGAAAAUCUCUAGUGCCAUGGAUUGCCAAAGGCUCUCUCUCAAGGCUUGCACUCAAGCAGCCCAUAACCAGAGGCUCCCUGUGCAGACCAUGGUUCAAGUUCUCUAUUACGAGCAGCAUCUUCUCCUUCUCCUGGAAGAAGAACUACAACAGGAACAGGAACAUGAACAAAUUCGUAACUGGCAGAUGAAGGUGCACCUUUAAGUGAACGGCGGGAUAAACUAAGAAUGGCGGGAUAAACUACGGUCUCUCCUUCUAAACCUCAUUUCAGUAAGUUUUGUGUAACACUGCACAAAACAUGUUUCAUUUGAAAUUUAGAGAGAGAAUGAGAAAUGAAAAUUGUGUUUGCAACCAGAAGGAAUUCACUGUGUUUGCAAGCGUUUCCCUUGCAGGUAUUUUUCUAUGAAACAGUGCUUGCAGACAUGCCAUUUUUAUAAAAAUUAAGACUUUACAAUGUGUGGCUAUAAUUAUUCUUGUUAAUUUGAUCUAUUAAUGUAGAUUAGCUAUGAAUUUGAUUUUUUACGUGAAGCUGAUGCAAUGAAGAGAAUUCGUAAAUUUGUGUAUGCUGCCAAUAAGAAACCUCCGGUUUUGAUACCUCGUGAAAUUAGCGGAUUGACAACUAGGUAUGACAAUCAGGUAUUUUUAAUUCUUUUGAAAAACUCCAGUUUUGAAAACGAAUUUAUUGGUGAUAGGGUAAUCUGAGUUUGUAAGCCAUAUGUUUGUAAAAUCAUUUGUGUUUUCAUAUUAGAUAUGAUUCAUGAGAUAGGUUUUGUAAAAUGAUAUGAAUCUUAUUAUCACUGUAUUUCACUCUUUGUGGAUUGACAAAUAGCUCAAUUAUAGGGGAUAUUGUAAUAUGGGGUAUGCUCAAUUAUUGACAGAUGUUCCAAUAAAAUAUACAUGUUCUUUUUAUAUAGAGAGACAUUAAUAGGUGUAGCCGCCGUGUAGGUAUAAUUUUAAAACUCAAUACUGCCAUAUAAAGUCAAUGGUUAUAGUUUUGCUGCAGUUCACUUAUUCUACAGUGUUUCAUAAUUUCACGUAUUCUUUAUUUUAAGAUACCUAAUCGUGGUACUUUCCAAGGUUUUAUCGACAGUCAUGCGGAGCUGACCGCAUGAGUCAGCUACACAUUUUGGGAUAUUUUGCAAAUAUCGUCCUACAUUUUCUUGUAUUUACACAAUAUAAAUAAAAUAUUAAGAUUUGAGAAAUGGAGAAAUAGAGAAUUGGAAUACUCGCUGGAGGUCUAACAGAUGUUGGAAAGGGUGGCUGAAGACUGUUCAGAGUGGAUAAGAAAACAGUGUAGAAAUCAAGCUCGUUGCUUUUUUUUAUAUUUAUUUAACCAUUUAAUGGUUAAAUGAUUAAGUGGAUCUGACCCAGCACAUAAAGGUGCUGGGCAGUAUACUCGCCUGGCCAAGCGCAUGAAAAACCUUGGUAUUUUCAACAUUGUUGCCUAUCAAUUUAGGAAUGCAAACGAGCCGAGCUAUACACUUAGAUUUGGGCUCAGCUUGCUAAGGUUUUAGUACAGCUCUGGCUUGAGCUCUCUAAGCUUGAUCGAACUAGACUUCAGCCCGGCUCGAAACAUGGGAUCGCAAGUCCAAUAUCUCAAAAAUUAAUUUUAAAUAUUAAAUUUACAGUACCUGUAACUUGAACACAUGACAUUUUCAAAAACUUUUAAAUAAAUUAACCACUCAACCAGAAUUUCUCUAUUUAUAUUUAAUGAAAAUACAUUGUAUAUUAUUAUUAUUGAGCAUAAUGAGCCGAGAUCAACCUUAAUAAUCCUUGCUCGGCUCGUUAAGCUUGACGAGCUUAGACCCUAGACUUGAUCUCAGCUCUUUAAACUCACGAAUCGAGCUUAGAACUUGCAACCCUACAUCCCUACCUAUCAUAUUAAUUAAUUUAUUUGAUUUUGAUGAUGUUCAUUUCUAAAUUUUUUUUUGCUAUUAUCAUACCUCAUAGUAUCAAUAUACAUUCUACGUUUAAUGUCAGGAGGGUCCUAGUAAUGGAUUUCAUUGAGGGAAUUCCGAUACUUAAUCUUGAAAUUGAAAUGGUUAUGUGUGGCCUUAAGCCCUUAAUCCUUAUGGGAAGAUAUCAGAUGCUGCAAAGAAGUAACUCUCUCCGAGCACAAGAUUGCAGUCUCUUUGAUUUUAAUAUGUAUACUCAUCUCUAUCUGUCGCUUUUGUUGCUUAUUCAUAUAUAUUGCUUGCACUGUUAAUUAAUUUUAUAACCUAUAACUUCACGAUAUUCUAAAGAUUGCAGUCUUCCCGUUUUUAUACUUUUAUGAAUGGUAUAAUAUUUGUACAUCCAUUGUAGAUCGUAACAUAGUGCUAGGUAAUGUAAUACUGAAGUUAUGGUCGUUGAUCUUUUUGUGACAGAAAUAUCUUGAAGAACUUGACCAAUGCUUAUGGUCAAAUGAUAUUAAAGAGUGGGUUCUUUCAUGCAGACCCUCAUCCUGGAAAUAUUUUGAUUUGUAAGAAUUCUGAGGUAUGUUUUCAAUUAUAGAAACAUCAGCUUUCUCUCUAUAUACUUUAAUCAUUUCGUAUCACGUGUUUUUCAGGUUGCAUUGCUAGACUAUGGACAAGUAAAACAUCUCCCAGAAUAUUUGAGGCUAGGAUAUGCUAAUCUUGUUCUUGCUAUGGCAGAUAAUGAUCCUUUGAGAGCAGUACAGAGUUACAAGUAUGUGUAUGUGUCGUAAACUAUUAUGCAUAGACGGUAUAAAGUUACAGAUUUGACAUGUUUACAUAUGAUAAUUGUUGAACUCGUGAAGAAUUUAAUUACAAAGUCAAAGCAUUGCUAAUACUAUUUUACAGGAAUUUACAUUCUUUAGUAGAUAUCAUCGCCAAUUCACUCUCUUUCUAGUGGUUUGAUAUUAUUAAGAGUAAUUUUGCAGAGACCUUGGAAUUGAAACAUCGAGUACAUGUGCUGAUGAAUCGAAGGAGUUGCUUCAAUUGGCUCGGUCAAUGUUUGAUACUAAGCUCCCACCUGGAGUAACAAUUUUAUCUCCAUUUGCAGAAGAUUCAUCAUUACAAAAAGUUUCUGUUCCAGUAAGAAAUUAGUUUUGAGUAUUGUACGGUAUUGCAACAGAAUCAUUAAUUGGACAGUUUAAUCUUAAUUGCAGAGUUUUCCAGAGGAGUUGUUCUCUGUUCUACGCACAAUGCAAUUGCUGAGAGGACUUAGUGUUGGUAUGGGUGUGAAUUAUUCUUGUGCAGAACAGUGGAGGCCUAUAGCCGAAGAGACAUUGCAUAAAGCUGGAAAAUUGAAAGGUAUCGAUUGCUUGAUAUAUUGAGAUGCAAAUUAUAUGCAUCAUAUUGUAUAGAAAAUAUGUGACUAUUGCAAUAUUGCUUAUUUUACUUCAGAUUUUGAACUCAGAUCGAGGAAGCAAGGAGUGUUGAGAAAAAAAUUAGAGAGAUGACAAAGAAAUGGUGGUAUAAUGAAAAAUAUUUUUUUAUGAUUUGAUGUAUACACUCAUUAUUAUUUGUGUAACCAAAGCAACACGUUUUCUUUGUAUGAAAAUUGAAAUAAUGGCAAUUAACCAACCUAUUACAUAUCAAUUAUCAUUAAAUAACUGAAUGAAAGAAAUGGUGAUCUUGUUUUCAGCAAUCUCUUCCAAGCAUUUCCAUCUGGCGUCGCGUUUUCUGGUAAUUUCCAUUUCUUUCAUUUCCACUUCAUGCAAUUUGCUGAUGCAUCCACGGAUUAAUUCUGGAUCAUGAUCAUAGAUUAUUUUCCUCACACUUAAUGUAAGACUCUGCACAGCACGGUUCCAAUGAUUCUUAUUUCUCUCUAAAGCAGGGAGGACGAUGGGAAGUAUGACUCUGAUGUUUUGCCUGAUCAUAUUCUCAAUGCGAUCGUUGUUCCGUAAAAACAACGCCCGCUCAGCCACCUGUGCACAUGCAUUGUUUGAGAGAGAGAGUAUGAAAAAAGAAGAGAAUGAAAAAUAAUAACCUGAAAAUGUGGGCUGGAAAUGCAGCUUCCAAUCUGUUGAAAGAGUGGGAUCAUGCACCGUUGAAAUUCAGGAAUCUCUGUUAAAUCAAGGAUUUGUUCUAAUUCCACCAGGAACAUUACUUCCUUUGAGCUAUUUGUCAAUGGCCAAUACUUAAGCAUACCCCUUAUUACAGAAUCAGCAAGUUUGCAGUCUUUAUCUACAAACUGUGCAAUGCAGUGUGACAACUGGCGAUGAUAAGAUGGUAGUGACUUAGGUUUAUGCAGAGGAAUCAAUACCUUUAUGAGAAACAGUUUAUGUUCUUCUUUAAGUGGCAGAGCAAAUCCAUUGAUAAUACUGCCUAGGAUCUCUAAAAGCUCUGCAAUCCCAUUGUGGUUCUCUAUUUCAAAUAUUAAUUGAAAGAAGAUAUUGUUUACAGCUCUCCUGAUAAAUGGGCGAUGAACCGUGAAUUUACCAUACAUUCGUUGAAGAAUAGCCUUUAAGUACUCUCUUUCUCUUUGACUUCAGAGUCAAACAAUUCCAGUAACUUCAAAACAGUCAAUUGGUCUAUAUAUCUCUUUGCCAACUUGACAUCUGUUUCUGGAGAUGUAAUGAACCUGGGCAGUAACUCGUACACAGCAUGUAAAUGCAGCCAUGCAGGUUCCAUGGAUGCUUCGUCUUCAUCUGUUUCAAAGUCUUCCACACCCUUAUUGGACGGACUUAAUGCUCUGAAUAGGUUGAGAGAGAUCAUUCUCAUGACUUCUUUCAUGAUAAUCUCCGGAAACUUUGAAUUUGCAGAAUUGACAUAUUCUACCAGCUCCAAAAGUGUCCGUCGUUUGACAUCUUUCUCAGUUAAAUUCUUGGUCAUGUCAGUGAAAUCGAAGAUAACAUAGCACAUGUUGAGUUUUUUGAUGAACAAAUCCUGUUUCUCAGCAGCGCUAGAUAUAUCAUCAAAUCCUGGAAGUGGUUCAUGUACCUAGUUGAUCGCAUUUGAUUGCUGGUAGUCAUUGCUGUUCUCGAAUUUUAUUGGAUUUUUAGGUAUUCGUCCUAGAAUUUGUUUGAUCAUCAUGUCUAGCAACUAUCAAGAUCGUAGAAUUAACAUUCUUAUUAUAUCUACUCUACUUUUUAGUUUACUUGCAAAUAAUUAACAUUCUUCUUCUAACCUCUAUCCUCUUGAUUUCCUUUGUUUUGUCUGGUGUAGUGGUGGAUGAAAUUGUCAGGGGAAAUAAAGCAAUUAACCCCUUAAACCCUUAAGAAAGAUAAAACAAGUACACAAGAGAAAUAAAGCAAUUAACCCCAUAAGGGCUAAUAGACAAAUAACCCAAUAUGAGGGUAUAUAAUGUAACUCAGUUAUUAUAAUUUACAUCAUCAAGUUUAUCUCUAUUACAUCAUCUAUCUUCCUCCUGUACUACCUCUCUUCUCCGAUCAUCAAUCUGCUCCUCCGACUUCUCCGACCAUCUUCACUUUCUCAACAUGGUAUCAGAGCCAUCGAUCCUACACCGCUCUCAAUCUCUGAGUUCCCUCUCCGAACACACACAAGCAACCUUCCUACAAAAACAGGCCAACAACACCUCAACCCAAUCCCCUCCACCACUACCCAAUCUCGAAAAUCCAGAGGAUGACAGCAUCCUCAUCAACGGAACCAUCAACAAUCCCCAUCGCCUCCCAACGUCCUAUAACAUAAACUCACUCUUUCGCAACCCCAUGAACAAGACAGAUUAUAUCUGUUGGAAGUCGCACUUCCUGGGAGUCUUGAAACUCCAUGAUCUCUCCGGCGUAAUCAAUGAACCGGACCAGAAGUUGGAAACCACUACUGGGGAUGUCAACACCCAAUACUCAAAAUGGGUGAAGUCCGAUCAACUUGUACUCACGUGGAUAAGAGCAACUGUCUCCCCGGCGGUACAAUCCAUGAUCCUACACUGCACCACCUCAAAGGAGGCAUGGCACUUGCUGGAUCGGUUCCUCUCGCCACUAUGCAGUAUCCAUAUCAAGGCACUGAGGACAAAGCUACGAGCCACCAAAAAGAAGCCUGAAGUCUCCAUGUCUGAGUACUUGAUGAAGGUCAGAGCAACCAUCGAUGCCAUUCGUGCUGCCGGCUCCGUGAUAGCUGAGGAAGAAAUCAUUGGCUUCGUGGUUGACGGACUCGACGAAAACUACAGAAGUUUCCUGACGCAUCUUCACUUCAGCCCAGCCACAUCAUUUGACGAAUUGGUCAGUCACCUUCUCCAAGAAGAGGAUCUGCUCAAAAGAACAGAGCAGCCGGUCAACCCCAUCGCAUUCUCCGCGCAACAGCAGUCGUCGCAACAUCAUUCGUCGACAGAAGGAAAUAACUCCAAUCAACAACCGAUAGGAAACAACUCUCACAACCAAAACAACUUCAGAGGCCGGCCCAGGGGACGCGGAGGCCGAUAUCGAGGAGGACGAUUUAAUGGGGGACACUUCGGCAGAGGAGCAAACAAUCAACACUACAGGGCACCAACAUAUCACCCCCCCCCCCAACUAUCGACAUCCAGAACACUUCUCGCCGCCGCUACUACCAACACCAGUCUCUAUCGGUGAACAGGUGUGCCAAAUAUGCAAUCGCGCGGGCCACACAGCGAGGUUCUGUAAUAAUCGGCGUAACUAUGCAUACAACGCUCGCCUCAUCAAUGACGACAACUGUGCCAUGUCCGUCCACAGCAGCGCUCCGUCAGCAACAUCUGAAAGCUCGUGGUGUCUCGACAGUGGGGCGUCGAACCACAUGUCUCCAUCUCUGAACUCCUUCAACUCCUUCCAACCUUAUCAAGGUAAAGAUACUAUCAUGGUUGGAAAUGGUUCCCAAUUGCCGAUACUAAGGCAAGGGACUGUCUCUCUCACGACCUCUCUCGGUCGAAUUUUAAUUCCCAAUGUCCUAUACGUACCAGGACUCCACAAAAACCUACUUUCAAUUCAAUCACUUUCCAAUGAUCUAAACUGUGUUUGUUCCUUUGAUUCUAAUGGGUUCACCGUCAAGGCCAAGGAGACGGGAGCUACUAUCAUGAAUGGCAGUAGUGGCCAAGGCCUUUACCACCUCGACAAUUCAACGACAGGCAUCUGCAAGGGAAAACAAGCGUCUGCCUGUACGAGAUUGACGCCGGUGGUAUGGCAUCGUCGGUUGGGUCAUCCGGCUCAACCGAUUUUAUCUAGCGUUCUAAACUCCGUCUCUCCAGCUUCGAUCGACCGUCGACCAUCUACUCUUCCUUUCUUCCAGGUCUGUGCCCUCAAUAAAGCAAAGAGACCUGCCUUUCAUCAUCGUACCUACAUAGCCAGACAGCCACUGGAACUCAUCCACAUCGACCUUUGGGGGCCGGCUUCGGUGACUUCCAGAGAAGUGUUCAAGUACUAUGCGUGCAUAGUGGAUGAUUUCUCCAGAUUCACCUGGUUCAUCUCUUUAGUUCAAAAAUCCGACUUCACUUCCCAUUUCAUUAACUUUUGUAAUUUCGUCGAACGGUCAUUUGUCUUUAAAAUUCAAAAAAUUCAAUGUGACGCCGGCGGUGAAUUCGUCGGCCACAUUCUUCGAAACACUCUCUCAAAACUCGGUAUCCAACAACGUUUUUCCUGCCCUUAUACGCCACAGCAGAACGGCGUCGCCGAACGGAAACAUGGACACAUCGGCGACGUCGGCAGAUGCUUCCUACACCAGGCAUCACUACCACUAGAGCUCUGGACAGACGCGUACUCGAGCGCGACAUUCGUCAUUAAUCGACUUCCAUCAGUCACAACGAACAAGAAGUCACCGUACGAGGUACUAUUUGGGCGAAUCCCAGACUACUCACUACUACGGACCAUCGGAUGUCUCUGUUUUCCAAUCACACCCAACUCUCAGAGAACAAAGCUCCAGAGUGUGGCCACUCGAUGUGUAUUCAUUGGUUAUUCAAAUACGCACAGAGGGUACAAGUGCAAAGACCUAUCUACUGGGAAAAUAACAGUGUCACGGCAUGUUCUCUUUGAUGAAUGCACGUUUCCGUUCCAGCAGCAAACCCAAACCCAAGUACAGCCAGAGUCACACUUCAGACAACUGCCAUCUGCACUAAUUUCACCUCCUACAAGGCUACACACGAUUCGGGAAGCUGAUCAGAUACGAUCAGAAGAUCAUCCAGGAUCCUUAUCGACACAGACGACACAGACUGAUCGUCCAUCAGAAGAAACAGAGGACGAUCGAUCAGCUAUCUACCUCAAUCCGUGUACCGAAACAACGGCGUAUCCCGACACAACUAUCAUAAAGGAUACGCCGAAUAUCAAUCAAGACUGCAACACGAGAAAAUCUGAAAGAGUAAAGACACCACCCUCCUGGCUAAAGGACUAUGAGACAGAGGAUCAUGAACGAACAGGGCGCCAAAAUUCGUCGGCCACAAUCACCAGUUUAAAAGAAACCGGGUCCCCCAAUUCAACAAGGAAUGAAUCCGCUCAAUCAAAACCCGCCCGACUACACUCAUCCGAAUUACCCAAAUCAGUCGGACACUCCCAAACACAAUCCCAAAAUUUAAACAAGAUCCGACUCAUCAAAUUCAAUCGGUCGGACACUCACCCGAUAUCAGACGAACAACUGAGCACCAUCGUCUCCGACCCACCCCGCCGGACUGCGACCAAAAACUGCAACCUGGCCAUUAGUGAACAGUCCGAGCCGACGUCCGUCAGAGAAGCAUUCAAAUCUCCCCUCUGGAUGGAUGCAAUGACAGAUGAAAUCCAAGCACUUAACAUCAACAAUACCUGGAAGCUAGUUCCCAGACAAUCGGGAAUGAAUGUAGUUGGCUCCCGAUGGGUCUUCCAGGUUAAACAAAACUCUGACGGAUCCCUCAAUAGGUACAAAACUCGGCUUGUAGCGAAGGGUUUUCACCAGAAAUACGGGGAGGAUUAUGAUCUCACGUACAGCCCGGUGGUGAAGGCUGCCACUAUACGAACGAUACUGGCAAUUUCGACAUCCCAACGGUGGAAACUUCAUCACCUUGAUGUCUGUAAUGCGUUUCUUAACGGUCAUCUAACCGAAACAGUCUUCAUGGAACAACCUCCAGGGUUCACAAUGAAGAAAACAACGGCCAAAUCUCACGUCUGCAAACUACAAAAAGCGAUCUAUGGCCUGAAACAGGCACCGAGAGCCUGGUAUCAACGACUAAAAGAGUUUCUUCACAGUUGUCAAUUCCUCAAUUCCACAUCUGAUUCAUCACUAUUCAUCAGAAGAAACAACGGAAGGGUCAUCUACGUUCUAAUCUACGUAGAUGACUUCGUAAUCACGGGCGACUGCGAUACAGAGGUUAAAGCUUUCAUCGACUCGGUCUGCAGACAAUUCAAAUGCAGGGAUCUCGGACAACUAUCCUUCUUCCUAGGCAUUGAAAUGGAAUCGACUGCAACGUCCACGAAGAUCACACAGAGAAAGUACUCCCUGGAUCUGCUUGCGAAAUUCAAGAUGAACAAUUCCAAACCAAUCUCGACGCCAUCGACACCAGGAUCCAAACUAACAGCCAACUCAGGGACACCAAUCGAGGAUCCGACUCCAUAUCGGAGCCUGGUUGGAGCUUUGCAAUAUCUCAGUCUCACUCGCCCAGACAUCGCAUUCUCAGUUAAUCAAGUAUGCAAAUUUAUGCAAUUACCAACAACAACCCAUUGGCAGGCAGCCAAACGCAUCCUUCGAUACAUCAAAGGCACCAUUGGUUUUGGGCUCACCUACACACCUUCAACCUCCACAGACCUAAACAUCAUGGUCGACUCGGACUGGGCGGGUGACCCAGAUGACAGACGCUCAACGACCGGAUCUUGUGUCUUCCUCGGCCCAAACCCGGUGGCCUGGAUGUCCAAAAAGCAGCCGACGGUAUCACGAUCCAGCGCCGAGGCUGAAUACAGAGCCAUCGCACAUGUCACGGCCGAGCUCAAAUGGUUCUGCUCGCUCCUAAGGGAGCUGGGAGUGUAUCUGAGACAAGUUCCAGUUAUUCACACUGAUAGCAGAUCGGCAAUUUUUAUGGCAACCAACCCAGUGAUUCAGGCUAAAACGAGGCACAUUGAAAUCGACUACCACUUCAUCAGAGAGUUCAUCAUCCGCGGAGAUAUCAGCCUCAAAUUCGUUCGGUCGGAAAAUCAAAGUGCAGACAUCUUCACCAAAGCUCUACCGGCGUCACUCUUUCAUCGACACCGGCAACGUCUGCGACUCACCGGUGUCGAAGGGGGGUGUCAGGGGAAAUAAAGCAAUUAACCCCUUAAACCCUUAAGAAAGAUAAAACAAGUACACAAGAGAAAUAAAGCAAUUAACCCCAUAAGGGCUAAUAGACAAAUAACCCAAUAUGAGGGUAUAUAAUGUAACUCAGUUAUUAUAAUUUACAUCAUCAAGUUUAUCUCUAUUACAUCAUCUAUCUUCCUCCUGUACUACCUCUCUUCUCCGAUCAUCAAUCUGCUCCUCCGAC
Molecule: long non-coding RNA, 79033 nt
Filed under: Zostera marina
Lineage: Eukaryota; Viridiplantae; Streptophyta; Magnoliopsida; Alismatales; Zosteraceae
Description: long non-coding RNA (ZMAR_LNC001885)
Source: RNAcentral